Molecule: long non-coding RNA, 44234 nt
Filed under: Ananas comosus (pineapple)
Lineage: Eukaryota; Viridiplantae; Streptophyta; Magnoliopsida; Poales; Bromeliaceae
Description: long non-coding RNA (ACOM_LNC000489)
Source: RNAcentral
GGUUUUUAAAUCUUUCUCAAAUGGAUAAAAUGCAAUUAUUUUGAAUCAGAAUUCUACUGUAUUUAUUAUGAAGUGCACCCUACAAUCCAUUCAAAUAUUUGGAUUCCUCUAAUAUUCCAAUCUUAUUAACUCAUUUAUGAAGAAAAACCUAUUAUCCUAAUUAUAUAAUUAGAAUUUUAAUCUCCCUUAAAAUUAAAUCUAGUUUCUGCAUACUGAACUCAGUGGCCAUAAUUCGGAAGCAAUACAUGAAUCUUCCAUUAGUGAGCUAAUCCUCUAAGAAAACAAACCUGCCAAAACCGUACAACUCAAUCAGAGUUCAACUAGAACCAAAUAAAAACACAAUGGAAUAAAUAAAAGUGAAAUAAAAAAUUCAAAUCAAAACGUCAUCAAAUUUUCUUGGCUGCAUCAUACUACUAUAUGAUUUCUUCUUUUUUUUUUAAGCUGUGCUUUACAAGUGUGUUCAUGUAUUCUUUUCUUUUUCAACAUUAAAGUGUGAGAGUGGUGCUAAUAACCUCUAAACAUUUAAAAGAAAUAUAUUGAUUUGCCCUACAACUGAAGGUUGCUUGAUUCGCAUCUUGGAUAUGAAUUUUCUUGACGUUCAGAUGAAAUUCUGUCUCUAGCUGGAAAAGGUUAUCCUCCUGUGGGAACGGAUUAGAGUUUCCAUAUAGCAAGGAACUAGGUGCCUUAUAAAGAAAAUCUGGAAUUUGACCGCAGUUAACUUCUUCAAUUCCAUUAGAUCAUUAUGGACAAAAUUGUUAAAUUGUAAAUCUGGUUGCAAUGAGUACUCUGUGACUCUAAUGUCAACGUCCUUCUCAAUUGCUUUCUAAUUAGCACGGUUGUGCUUUGUCUACCAUGCAGAAAGAAGGGUGCUUAUGCAUAUUUCCAAUCAUAAUUGAUGUUUGUGGUGAAUCAUUUUGUUGGAUUAAUUUGUUCUUCCAUCUUUUAAGGUUAUUCAACACGAGGAUUACUUAAUCUUUGUAAUAUGCCUAGCUCAACUUAUUGGGUAGUUUAGGUGACUGCUUUUGAUGUUAUCGAUAAAAUAGUUUGCGCAGGAUUAGACCUUCGUAAAUAGCUAUUUAAGAAGUACAUAGUUACUCUGGACAUUGUGCAUUUGACAUUCUAAUGGAAGUUGUAAUUUUGAUCUAUUAUUUUAUUGGUUCAGCAUUGUUGAGCCUACUUUUGUCUAGGUAUUAAUAUAAGGUUAUGCAUAUUGUGACUUGCUAUAGAUCCAGCACUCAGAGAAGCCUCAUUUUCCAUUCUGGAUUUCUUAUAAUCUUUAAUUAGAGGAUCCUGUUCUUUUUGAAUUUGAAAUAUCUUAAGUUACUUUCAAAAAUAUUUUAUUCAUUCAACAAAGUAUGAACUGAAGCACUUUUAGCCUUUUGAGUACUAUGUUAGCCAUAUUUUGUUUGUCCCUUUUCUGGAAGCUAAAUUUUGCUAAGAAGCAUAAACAUACAUGAAGAGAAUUCAUUUUGCAGAAAUGACAAUUAUUGAGGCGGUUUCCAAUAUAUGAGAGUCAACUCCAUUUCGAAAUAAAUUUUGAGCCAACAUGACCCCAUAAUGAGGCAACACUGUGAGAUAGUGACUGCUGAAGAUUGUGUGUUGGUUAUAUCCCUGUUCAGUACCCUUUAUGGGCAAUGUGAAAUUUUUGUCGAUGACGAACUUCUAUAAAGCUUGGUUAAAUAGGAAGCCAAUGUUUGGGCCGGAUAGUGAGAUCAUAGAGUGAGAGAUGAAUAAAUAAAUAAGGUGAGAUCAAAGUCAAUUAUAAAACUUACUCUGCUCAUAGUCUUUAAUGUUUAGGUUAUAACCCAUCUAGAAGAUGGACCUCAAAAACUCGCUGUUACUUCUAGGACCUCAAAAACUCGCUGUUAUAGUCUUGAUGUUUUGAUUUUUUGUUAUUACCUUCAAGUACUACUUUUCUUUGGCCAGAUUGGUUUACCUCAGAUGGAUCAAUUACUAAAUGGAGGUGUUCAAUGCUGCAGGCCUAUUGAAGAGCCCUAUUUUGAGCCAGCCCUUAUUCAUCGUCUAAAAUUCACUUUAUUCUUGAAACGCAUAAACUUAACCAUUAUUCUUGGAGCCUUUAAGCCAUAGUCCUAGUACUAAUUGAAUCUUUUAUAUGUUGGUAUGGCCUGUUCGGCCCUACUGUAGGGCACAGUGCUGGUGAUGAAGUGCUGUCUGAGUACUACCUUUAGAAGAAGCAUUAUAAUAAAAUCCCUUCAACUGAUUCUCUUAACAGCAGAAGUGGAAAUGCUAAAUAGAGCUUGUACUUUUGAGCUGCGCAAUCUCAUUUUUGACCCACUGUAGUAGAAUCACUGGACUUCUCUGUUUGUCAAAUGCUCUAUUAGAAGUGACUGUUACUGGAAACAAAAUAAAAAAUGGCAAAAAACAGGCACAUAGUUAACAUCGGAUGUUUCAAGAUAAAUAUUUUUAUGCAUCUGAAAAAUUAAUAUGACGGUUUGAUAUGGUUUAUUAAGCUAUCAAGCUUCUAAAAGCAGCAUAGGGCUAUUAUCUCGCAUAAAUUGACAAUUCCAAACUUUAUAGGUUUGGACUAUUCCUCUGAUAAUUCGGAGGGAAUGAAGAACUUAAUACACAAGAAGAGAGGCUAGUGAGCGAGUUAUUGGACCUGAUUACAUAUGAAGUACUUAUUAAAUAACCACCAGUGUUUUAAAUAACGGCCGCUAUAGCAGAUUUUAUGUGCUACCGCUAUACUAUGAUAUGUAAAGCGGUAUAUAGUGGAUCGGGUUCAUAGCGGCCGCUUUAGCGGCAUAGGGUCCGAUAAAGCGGCCGCUAUAAAGCGGUCGGAAAGCGGGCGGUAUGAGUCCAAAUCUUUAAAAAGUGCAAACGGGUUAAAAGAAUGAUUAAAUUGUUAAUGGAUUAUAGAUUUUCAAGUUUUAUGUUUUUUUGGUUUGCUAAAUAUUUUAAAGUUAAUCUUAAAUUCUUAAUAGAUAAUGACAUUAAAUAUAUAUAAGCUUGCAAUACUAAAAAAAAGAAUGAUUAGUUGUCUUUUCUUCAAAAUUAUAUGUAUAUUUUUUAUAAGAAACAUAAACAUAUUAAAUUUACUUUUAUGAAACCUGCUAUGGGUUCAUAGCACCUGCUAUGGCGCUCGCUAUCCGCUUUCCGCUAUGAGACUUUGCAAAUGCUAUGUACCCGCUAUCCACUAUUUACAAUCUUGAUAACCGCCAACUGGAUGAUAACCUUUUUCCUGUGAUUUAUGGACAAUUAUAUUUUGAUAUACAAUAACUCUUUCUUUGUAAAACUACACUUGUCCAUAAGGUUCUUCAACUAUUUAUAUCUGUGAUUUGAGUUUUGUCUAACGUCUGUAAUUUGUGUAGUAAUCCAUUUUUCUGUUUUUUUUUUUUUUUAACUUCAUUAAGUUAAGCUUUAAGCGGAAUUUCUUUAUCUGAUUCAUUUUGUAAUCACCAAAUGCCAGCAAAUUGUACCGCCUGUGAUUAAUUCCUUUCGCGACCAAGACAGCAGAGUUCGAUAUUAUGCCUGUGAAGCACUUUAUAACAUAGCAAAGGUGAGUAUAAUUGAUUUAAUAUCUUUAACUAGAGGUUAUAACUCUAAUAUGGAUAGGGGCCAAAAUUGUGAUUCCAGUCUUUCUAUAAGAGGGAGAGGUUUUGUAGGUCUUGCCCUCAGUUUCUGCUCUUUUUUGGGAGCUUGAGCACGUGAACCUUUUUGAUUUCUUUAAUUUAUUAAAGAUGGUUUUGCUUGCAUUCUCUGUAUUUUAAUAGAUAUUAAUUAUUUACUUUCAUUUUUGCUAGGUUGUAAGAGGAGAUUUCAUCGUUUACUUUAAUAAGAUAUUUGAUGCACUAUGUAAGCUUUCAGCAGACUCUGAUGGCAAUGUACAAAGUGCUGCUCAUCUUCUUGAUAGGCUUGUGAAGGUAAAAUUUUCAUUGACUUGCUUUCUUGAGGGAGAGUAUUUGAAAUGGUAUUUUCUUGUCUUAUAACUUGUUUUAAAUGCGUUACCCAGGAUAUUGUAACCGAGAGUGAUCAAUUCAGGUGUGUCAUCCUGUCCUUUAAAUUAUGGUUUUAAAAUGUCUGUACUUGUUUGUAUCCAUAGUUUGUUGGACUAUAUUCUCUUUUCACUCUCUUUCAGCAUAGAGGAAUUUAUACCACUUCUAAGAGAACGUAUGAAUGUACUCAACCCAUAUGUGAGGCAAUUUUUGGUGGGAUGGAUUACUGUAUUGGAUAGUGUUCCAGAUAUUGAUAUGCUCGGUUUUCUUCCUGAUUUUCUUGAUGGUAAUAUUCUCAAAAUAAAGCUUAAUAAACUAUUUUCACUUCUACAUUGAAAAAUGGCUUUAUCUUUCAUGACUUGCAAAUUCUACGCAGGUUUGUUUAAUAUGUUAAGUGAUAACAGCCAUGAGAUACGGCAACAAGCUGAUUCCGCACUUUCUGAGUUUCUCCAAGAAAUAAAAAGUUCUCCAGUAAGUUUUUCUUGAAUUUUAUGAUGUUAACAUACAGUAGUUGUUUCUUCAAAUAACUUUCUUCUUUCAUCUACUUCUUAGAAUACAUGGACAUGCAAUAUCUUAUUCUGAAAAGGAUGUCUCUCUUACCGACGCUUAAAUAUUCUUGUUUACCUUGGGAGUACAAAAUCACAUUUUCUUGAUUUCUGACUGAAUUAGUCUUGUUGUGAAGACUGUAGAUUAUGGUCGUAUGGCUGAAAUAUUGGUACAGAGGGCACGCUCUCUUGAUGCAUUCACUAGAUUGACAGCCAUAACUUGGGUAAGUUGUGACUUAAGCUUUGUUUGAACUAGUUUUCAUAGUAUCUUGCUUUUUGAAGUUAAAAUAAGCACGUGCUAUUUUUUUUCAAUGAUCUGGAAAAUUUUUUAGAUUAUUCAUAUGUUCUGAAAUUUGCAGAUAAAUGAAUUUGUAAAACUUGGGGGAGACCAACUUGUACCUUACUACGCUGAUAUUUUAGGAGCUAUAUUACCUUGUGUAUCAGAUAAAGAGGAGAAGAUACGAGCGGUAAAUCAUAUUUCUUUAGUUGCAUUAGCAGCAGCGACAUUAGUUGCUAUACCAGUUUGACACUAUUUACGCUUAAUUUUUAGGUUGCUCGUGAAACCAAUGAAGAACUACGAGCCAUUCGAAAUGAUCCUCCUGAGGGAUUUGAUAUAGGAGCUAUCCUCUCUAUUGCAAGGAGGUGGGGUUUUUCUUUUUUCCUUUUUUCUCUUUUCUCUUCUAAUCUUAACCUAGAAAUAACUAGGUCAAACAUUUCUUUUCUCCAGUAGUUAGGUUAAUAUAGUCUUUUUGCAGAAAGAUAGAAAGGAUUCGCUGUUUUGUACUAUGGUAUAUACUUCUGCAGUCCAUCUAACAUCUUGGAUGAUUUGUUGGCUAAAUCACAUUUUGAUGAUGCCAUGAUUCUUUGUUCAGGGAAUUAACGAGUGAAUGGGAGGCUACUCGAAUAGAGUCUUUGCAUUGGAUUUCAACACUUUUGGCUAGAUAUCGAGCUGAGGUAACUUUUCUUCAGCUACUUUUUAUUUGUUUACAUGCUUGUAGUUUAAUCCAUUUAUUUAGAAUGUACCAGUCGUCGUUCUCUUUAUGUAGCAAAUACAUUUCUCUUUUUGUGUUGAGAAGCUUCAUACAGUAAACCAAAAAAAAUUGCUACUUAAAUAUCUUAAUGUUAAAAAUUGCCUUUUGUUUUAUUAUGAUCCGGUUUGAAUCAUGAAUUAUGCACAAAUGUUAUCAAUGUUAAGGAAAUUAAGAACAUAAAAUAUGUUUUAUUGCAGGGAAGCAACUGUGAAUUCCUUGGUUAGGAUAGAUGAAUAUAGAUUGACAAUAGAAAUUCUUACUUGUACUUUUUAAUUAAUCUACAGCUAUCUGAAAUAACAUUGGAAAAAUGUUAUUAUGAAAAGAAAAUUAAACUUACUAGAUUGGAUUAGUUCUCUUUCCAAUUAUAUUAUUUUAGAAAGAAUAUGUAACGAUAAGCAUAAGUUGGACUUGUGCAUGUAUUGCACUUGGUUUGUCUGCAUUAUUUCAGAUGCUAGUUUUGAGUUUCAUUGACAUGCAUGAAACAGGUUUUAGCAUACUUGGAUGAAAUCUUUGGUUCACUUUUGAGUGCACUUUCAGACCCUUCAGAUGAGGUAAAUACUUCAUUCACUAUUAUUGUUGUGCUUUGUGUCUCGAGAAAUCAGUGUGAAUAUAAUGAACUGCUUGAAAGUCAGAUUAUGUUAAAUCUUGUUGCUUUUAGGGCUUCAUUAUUGAUGUUUAAGCAUAACUGAGGGUUGCAUGUAUUUGCAUGAUUGCAUACCUGACUAUCAAUUCGGAGUGUGCUUGACCAAUUACCGAAUAAUUUAUUUUCAAGUAAAUGUCAGUUGGUUACUUUUAUGCUCAUAUAUUAGAUUUGAUGUAGUGUUUAAUGCAGUGAGACAUGUGAUGUAGAAUAUUUCAGCCUCAUCGUCAUUGGUACUUAUGAUUUAUUGUAUGAUCCCAUUUUGUUAAAGUGGUUAGAAGCUUCAAUAUAUGUGAGGUGGCUGUUUCUCCAAGCUAGUUGGUGGAGCUAAUCAUUUGACUGGGUCCAUCUGACUGGGCCUAUUGAGAUAAAACUGUAGGAAUAUAACUUUUCAGUGAUCAUUUGUCACGUUAUUGCUGUUAUAUUAUGUACAAUAUUGUUCCCAAUGUAUUAUUCACUCUAUAAUAUGAUGUUGCGUCCGACUUUCCAUAUGCAAUGAUUGGAGUCUGGUUGACUGGAGCAAUCUUGACUCAUCCAGCUUGAGAUACUGGAUCUAGGCAAGUUUAUGUUUUGGUGUUGUAGAGAAAAAGCAACAAUAGAGAGAGUUUCCAACUUAAAAUAUUCUCCUUAUCCAUUUAUUUUCAGAAAUAACUGUGGAUAUCUGUGUUGAUUGUUUGCCGUUAAAUGAUGAGCAAUUUUAUGCCACAUGUACUGUUAAUCUUUAAUUCGGCAGUUUGCUAUUCCUUAUGGCGUCUUUACCCACUUCUACAAUAUUUGUGUUUACUUUGUAUGGCUUUUGUUCCUUUCUAUUCACCAAACUUAAAAUGUGAUCAAAUUGCUUCUUUACAUCUCUGGUCUAUCCUUUGAUACGUUUUUACCUUUCCAAAAUUAUGGUCAUUCCUUUUUUUCCUUUUCUAAUGAGCACUUGUGUGAGGUAGUGGAGGUCAAAUAUACAUGUAAUGACUGUAUAUGCUUAUAAAAUUGCAUUACCAAUUUUAAUAAGAACGUGCUGUAUAUAGAGAACUGGAUUUAAGAGGAACAAAUUUUCUGUUCUACACUAUAUAACUGACAAUCAGCUUAUUUAAAUAUGUUCUUUACUUUCUUUUGUCUUUUUAUUGUUCUUAUAUCUUUUCACGCUGUUCAAACCUUAGAAAUUUUAUGAUGCAGCGUAGUUACUUAUUUGGAAUGAAUACCAAUUUUGGAAUGAACGCAUUCAUGGGCUUCAUUUUAAUUUAAAAAGACUCAUUUUGGAAUGAACACCUCAACUUUUAAUUUUUGUCAUAAUGCCCUUUGACUUCUGGUCAUUUGUUUUGAGUUGUUCAGUCAACUGAAUUUGGGAUCCCAUUAAGAUAAAUAGCUCAACCUCUCUUCUGUUUGUUAAUAUGUAAUGGUGAACAACUUGAGGUGAUGUUAAUUUUAACACGACCCCCAAUUUAGCUAAAGGGGCUAAUUCAAAUUCAACGUGAAAAAAAUAAUUUGAGGGGGGUUUCAAUUGAAAAGAAAAGUUUUGAGGGAAAUGGGCUAUAGUUCUGUGGCUCUUCCCUCGUUUUAUCCUUGUCUCUAUACAACAGCUGCGAGCAUCUUAUGAAGUUUCUAAUAUACAACAAUGGGAUAGUAUUGCUCGGGAAAUGUUUAAUACGCUUCUUUAGUCUUCAUUGCAUUGUUGCUAUUUUUACUAUUUCACUGGAUGCGCUAAUGUUUGCAGGUGGUUUUGCUAGUUCUGGAAGUGCAUGCCUGCAUAGCUAAAGAAUCUCAUCACUUUCACGAUCUCAUUUCAUACUUAAUCCAGAACUUCCACAACGAUCAUGUGCUUCUGGAGAAGUAGGUGUUCUUCUGCAUACACAGCAACUGUUUUGCCAUUGUUUAUCUUUCGGCCCUUCUUUUGGUUGUUUAUAUAGUUAUCUAAGUAGAGCAGCUGAGUGUAAGAUGUAUCUAUCUAUAAAUUCUUCUGUUAUCUUUCUAGGCGUGGUGCCUUGAUAGUGCGGAGACUUUGUGUUCUUUUGGAUGCUGUGAGAGUUUACAAAGAAUUCUCAAAAAUUCUUGGGAGCGAAGCUGACUUGGAUUUUGCAUCUACAAUGGUUCAGGUUUAUACCAUUGCUUAGACUGUUCCAUUAUCAUAUUUGCAGUAGAAAUCUAGUAAUACUUUUUUUCAUUCAUAUUUUAGGCUCUCAAUUUAAUUUUACUCACUUCAUCUGAAUUGGCUGAGCUGCGUUUUCUACUCAAGCAAUCUUUGGUGAACCCUUCUGGCAAAGAUUUGUUUAUAUCUUUGUAUGCUUCAUGGUGCCAUUCCCCAAUGGCAACAAUUAGUUUGUGUCUACUAGCUCAGGUGAGCAUUUGCUCCGUUGAUACUUGUUUACCUUGCUCAUAGUUCAUUACUUUAACUUUUCAUUUUUUUGAUGUUUUGCUAUUUCUACUCAAAGGCAUAUCAACAUGCGAGCUCCGUAAUUCAGUCAUUAGGGGAAGAAGACAUAAAUGUAAAAUUUUUGGUACAGCUAGAUAAGUUGAUCCGCUUGCUGGAGACUCCGAUCUUUGCUUACAUACGACUGCAGGUAGAUAUUCUCUUUCUGAUCUAUUCUCUGUUUUGUUUAUUUUCGUUGUAGUCUGAAAAUGAAAAGAGCGUAUAGUCGCAUAUGAAAAGAUAAGGAGAUAGGAGGCAGUGAAGUGACUAGAAUUAAUUAAUGAUCUAUCACAGCUGAAGGUUGUAGUAAUUUGGUUCACAUUGUUUGAUUAAUUGAUUUGAACGCCUUAUGAGAUAUGUGUUAACAUGAAAAGGCCAAUCUGCAUACUCUUGUUCUCCAUGAUUAUGAUGCUGACAAAAUGUGUAUGUUAGGAUCUAAACUUAAUGCAUGCUAUGAGCAUUAAAGAUUGAAAUAUGGCGUGGACGUAGAUAACUACUUGAGGUCUUUUCAGUUACACAGGAGUUAAUCACCACAUAACAAUUGUUGUUUGGCGAUUAUAGAUAACUGAAGAGUUAUUUUUGAGGAGAGAAGUAGCAGAGAUAGAAAAAAAUAAUGGGCUGUGGAUAAUGUACCAAUUGAGACCUUUCAAAAUUUUCUUUGAAUGCAAAAUAAAUUAGAUCUGUGGUGCGCUUGAAACUUGCCUACAUGGCAUAUUUCCCUAUAUGCUUUGGUUUGGACAUUGUGAAAGCACAAACAAAAGAUUUGUUAUGUAGCUUUUCUUGUGGCCAGUUUACCUUAGCUAUUUAUAUCACAAAACAUUAGUAGCGUAAGCACCAUUUGUUUUCUUCUUUUAUUGAUCUUUUUAAGUAAAUUGAGUUGAACAUAUGUUUAGUUGCAUUUUUUUUUUUUGUUAUGUUUUAUUAUGGAAAUGCUUCUUAUUUUGAUUCUUUCUCUUUUGGAAAGAAACAUUUAUGAACAAAACAAUAAAACUUGUGCCCCUUGGGAGCAUUCAAUUUGCUCGUCCUUAAAUGAUAUGAACUUCUGUAUGUAGUUGUUGGCUUUAUCUGCCAAAAACUAUUAUCUGCUUUUAGUUUUUUCUGGCUUUUCUUCUUAUGUUACAGUGCAACCUGUAUAACAUGUUUCUGUGUAACAUGUUACCUUUGAAGUAACGAGUCCUGUUUAAUUAUUUGCCAUUGUCAGCUUUUUAUCUUUAUUUUCUUGUGAUAAGCAAAAGUUUCUGGUGAUCUGUUGUGGUCGCUACUUUUUUAUAUCAAAGAAAUUUUCUUGUGCUUCUAUAUCUUUAUUGUUAGUUGCAGUUUUCUCAUUUUAUUAUUGUGGUUAAUUUCUCAGAGGCUUCUUUUAGGUUAUGCUGUUUAUUUUAUUCCCUUCCUGCUGCUGCUUCUUCAGAACUGCUAGAUACUCUUCCACUACUUUGUGUUUCAAAUGGUCAACUUUCAGAUAGAGGCGGCCUUGCCUAAGACAGCUGAAUGAAUGGAAUAAACUCAUGUAUAACCAAAUUAAUUGAAGAACUAGUUUUCUUUUUGUUGAUUUUGCUUUAUCUACCUACUGAUAUCAUAAAACGUAACUUGCCUAGUGUUAAUCCAGAUUGACGGGGAACCUUGACCCCUGGGGAUGGGGAACCCUGUGGGAACACAAGUGACGAGAACGCCCCCAGUUGCUGUCACCAUGCUUGUUCGUUGCAUUGCCCUAUAGAUUUUACCGUCAUCUAGUUGAUUACAUAAUUAGACUUUUAGUCUUCAUGUGGCUGUUUUGGCUAUCAUGGAUAAUCAAACAACUUUCCAUUAGCUCCACUCCAUAGCAAUUUUAUAUAGAUUUUCUGCGCUUUUCGGUCUCUUCUUUUUGGUUUUAUAUCCGACUUCAAAAUACAAUGGAUUACGGGGUCUCAAACUUUCAUUAUCAUAUCUGAUACUAAAAACUCCUAGUGGGAAGAUGUGUUUAAGGAUUAUUCAAUUUUAGAGGGCCAUGAGAAGACUUGAGAAAUUGCCAACUUAUUGUCUUCUUUCAUUGAAGUAACUGCUAUCAAUUUUGUAGCCUUUUCCCCCUUUCAUAAAGCUGUCUUUUUCAAUUUCUGCAGCUUCUUGAGCCUGGAAAACACACAUGGCUGUUAAAAUCUCUAUAUGGCCUUUUGAUGUUGCUGCCUCAGGUAACAGUUUCAUUGUUUUAGUCCACUUUGGGUUUCUACUUUUCAUGAGCUGUUAGCCUGUAAAAAAAGAAGUAUUUGAACAUUAUUAUGAAAGGUGUUAUGCAGGGUGUAUAGCAGUAUUUAUAAGAAUAUGGACCAGCCAUAUUCAUAUGUAUAAGAUUGUUGCAUGUGUUUAAAGGUCUUCCUCCUUUUAAUCAAGUUUCUUUUAUUUUUACUUGAUUCACAAAAUUUAUAACCAUUAUAGACAUACUAUUUGUUGCCUAUACAUAUUACAGAUGAUUCUUUGACCUAUGGGAAGUAAGAGUUUAACUUGGAAACUUCAGAGCUAACUUCAAUAUUUAAAAAUCUUUCUUGUUUGAGGGCUCACUAGAGCUGGUAGGUUUAUAGAAGGUCACCUGCUCCUGUUGAAGAGGAGUGGAGCAAUAGCUAUAGGCUGUAAUUUCCUUUAGUUAUUAUAUUAACAUGGACCCUCUAGAAAACACGUAUUGCUAUUCUGAAGUUACGUCGGCCAAGAGAGAGGACUCUGGAUAUGUUGAGGGCACUGUAGUCUCCCAUUUAUUAUGUAUUGCUCUGGAUUCCUCAUGAAAAUUAUUACUAUAUAUUAGGGAAUACUGCUCUUAAAAUGAUCUUUGAAUAAUGGUUUCACUGUAAGAAGUGCAACAUGUAAUAUGACAAGAAUUGUCAGAUUAUGUUUUUCUUUUUAAUUGGGUCAGUUCAUUUUAGUCACCUAGCAUGUAUAUUAACUAUCUGAAAAACAGAAAGAGUAUGUUGUAAAGCCAAUAACAUGCUGAUUCUAAUUACUUUCUUCUUUGCAUUCUGCUUUAUGAUUGCUCUAUCCAUUUUGCAGCAAAGUGCGGCCUUCAAGAUCUUGCGGACCCGAUUGAAGACUGUUCCUUCUUUUGCAUUGAGUACUGAGAAUCUUAAGCGGACUUCAUCUGAAAAUCCGUACUCUCAGAUCUUACAGAUAGCAGAUGAAAGCAACCGGAACCAAGAUGUUGCCAGUACUUCUCAUGCCAUUGACUUUCCAGCUCGGCUGCAGCAGUUUGUCCACAUGCAGCAACUGCAUCGAGCACAUACGAAAUUUCGGCAGCAAUCCCGCAAUGCAGCCUACUCAACACUAUCACAGGUACAGAGGCUUGCUUAAUGUUGUUAGCAUAGCAUUGCUCUUGAGGUUUUCUUGGCAACUAUAAUUGAUGGAAUUUUUGUUUUUAGUAAACUUUUUAAGUACAGGGGUUGGAAAAGUAAAUUCAUCCCUAACUGCCUACUGUUAAUUGCUAUACUACUCUUUGAGUGGAUAUUUUGGAUUUGGUCCUCUUUUUUUAAAAAAUCUUCUUGUGACAAACAACAUGAAUAAUUUGCCAUCGACCAAUUAUGUAUUUGUAUUUUAUAUAUAUAUACUUUUAUGAGUAUUGGCUCCUUUAGAUUUAUUCCAUCGAUCAUUUUCACCCAUUAGAUCAUACUAUUCAACCAACUACCCACUCAACCCUAGGGGACUACUAUCAUUCUAAGUAGGGACAACCAUAAUCCUAACCACACAUCCCAUCAAUUAACGUUUAAAAAUUUAUGAGUACAAGGAGUUCUAUACUCAUAAGAGUAUAGUAGCCCCCGCCUAUAUAUAUAUAUAUAUAUAUAUAUAUAUAUAUAUAUAUAUAUAUAUAACAACCAUUAGUUAUAUGAAAGCCAAAAUUGCCUCUAAUCCCUGUAAACUCAUUUAGGCAUUCAAAAAAGACGGAAAGACUUUGUAUUCUUAAGAAGGUCACUUAAUCGGAAGGUCUUAACAGCUGUUAUAGGAAAAAAAAUAGCUAAUAUAGGGAGGAGGUGGUAGAGUGGAACAGAUCGAUAUUUAACUUUGUUAUUUCCUUUUCACCAUCUGUAAACACAGUAAUAACACUUUAUGUGGGAGCCUGUGCAUUGUUUUUCUCUUUGUUAUUGUUCUUUUCAGAGAAUUAACAAGCUGAUAUUUUCGGUUCUACCAAAAUUCUUUUUUAUUUUAUUAAGCUGUAACCCGUGACUUACAUUUUUCAUCAUCUUCUUAGCAUACAAAAAUUUAAAAGAAACAAUACAGUGAUGGCUUUUAAUCGCAGGAAAUACAAAGAUCUGAGGAAACAAAGCAAUCUUUGCCACUUCCUGAGAUCAAUCGGCCCCCUUCAUGAUCACCGUGGGGCAUACCUGGACAGUUGCAGCAUUAAUUGUUGUUGGUAAUAUUUUGGGUCUUCUUCUUUUAGUCCAUAUAGCACAAACCUCAACGUCCGAAAUUUUAUCUACUAUGGAUUAUCUUCAAAGGGGGGGGUGUCGAGCGGGUGUUAGUUGUAUAUCUUAUUGGCUGUUAUUUUCCUUCAGAUUUUGCUUUGUUGGUGGUAAGUAUUCAUCUGAAUCCGAUAUGCUCGGCUCCUCAUUAGCUAUUCUUUUUCUUUUUCUUUUUCUUUUCUCUUCUCUACUAGUAAAAUUUCUGCUCCUGUGGUUCCUGUAAUUUUUGGUUUAAAGGCCAUGUGAGCAGAAGUGAACGGAUACGGGUGAUGAGAUUCAGUUGUUUUAUUUUGUUCAGCUGGUUCAACAAUCCCCAAUAAAAGCAGGCCGUGAAAUGUAUUAUGUUUCUUACUCUCUGUUUAUGCUCUUUCCAUGUUAGUGCAGUAGACCAAAUAGCAAAGAAGGUUCUCAAAUAACUCGAGAAGCAGAAGCAGAGCCAGAAGCCGAAAUGUUCUUCUGGGUCGGGAGCUGCUGUCGGGUGCUUAUAGUUUGCCUCUUUAGAACCUUCCGACCCGGUCGGGAAGCUACUAGUAGCCUGCCCUGCUACUGAAACAAGAUUUGAACCUGCAUGGUUUGCAUUGAAUUGAUAAGAAUUUGAGCUGCUAGUACUCCUAACAUGUCAAUGAUAGUGUUCUGGGAGAAAUGGCAGUAUGUUAGCAAGACUUGCUGGGUUUUUGAUGGAAAACUCAUUGAACCGUUUCCAUGGAAGAGGCAUCCGCAACACGUUGUUGUAGCCCGUAUAAGCUUUGGUGGGGCGCUACAGUCAUAAAAGUUUUGCUUUAUUUCCCUGCAACUUCCUGAUGAUUUGGUAACUUUUGACGACAACACAGAGAUGUUGAAAUGUUCCCCGGCAACACCCGUGCUAUUGAAUUGGUUUGACCUGUGCUAUUGAAUUGGUUCGUUGCUAGGGAUGUUUCCACUGGUGCCUGUUCUUUCGGUGGUACUUCAAUUCUAUGUUUCUGAUGUGAAAUUUGUUUCGGUGGUACUUCUAUUCUAUGUUUCUGGUGUGAAAUUUGCUGCUGGAGUUGCCGUAAGAAGUGUUCCUCUACCCCUCGUGCACGGAAUAAAGGCCCUGCAAAAUAAUGUCGUGUGUCCCCUCCGGAGAGUAUCAGAUUCAGAGCAUUAGUUCUCCCUCCUAAUCCAUAUCUUCAUCCUAUCAUUUUUCAUGCUCUUGCCGCGUCAACAAAAAGAGUAGAAAUUAUUGGCUACACCUCGUUUGCAAUGUUGAUUGUGCCUAGUAAGCUAAUUUCAAGCACAGAGAUCUUCAAGAUUAAUGAUAUCCAAUAAAUAUAUAACCCUUUUGGAUUAGAUCACAUCCAAUGGAUUAAAUCGUGACGUUAAAUAUCUUUGUGCCUAAAUUUAGAUUGUGACGGAUGAAGGAAACGGAUCACCUGGUGGAGGCGGUAGUAUUUUCUCUCUUCUUUUACCUGACAAAAGAUGCUAGUCAUGUUGUGAUGAUAAAGCGUCGGUUGCUAGAAUUCCAAAUCAUCUAUAUAUAAUAUAUGAAUCCUCAGUUUUGAACAGGUGGCGAGCUCGGAGGCGCGGGCAGGGGCGAGCGCGGGGCGCGGGCAAGCGGGCGAGCCUGGCGGGGCGCCGUGUGGCGCGGGCGCGCGGGGCGCGGGCAGGCGGGCACGCGGGGAGGGGCGCCGCGUGGCGCGGGCGGGGGCGAGCGCGAGCGCGGGGCGUGGGCAGGCGGGCGCGCGUGGCGGGGCGNAGUUUUGGGACAGGUGGUGGCGACCGGAGGCACGGGCAGGGCGAGCACGAGCGCAGGGUGCCGCGUGGCGGGGCGCCGCGUGGCGCGGGCGCGCAGGGCGUGGGCAAGCGGGCGCGCGGGGCGGGGCGCCGCGUGGCGCGGGAAGAGGAGAGGGAGAGGCGGGCACGCGUGGUGGGGCGCGGGCAGGCUGGCGCACGGGGGGGGGCACCGCGUGGCGCGGGGAGAGGAGCGGGAGAGGAGAGGCGAGGGAGAGGAGAGGAGCGGAGAGGGUGGGGCCCAGGCACCCACAGCCGAGGGGAGAGGAGAGGAGAGGGAGAGAGGAGGGAUUUUUAUUUUUUUUGGCUCUUUUUCUCUCUUUAAUUUUUUCCCUUUAAUUUUUUUAUAUAUUUAUUCUCUUAAUAUAUAAUUAAAAAAAUUUAUAAUUUUUGUAAUUCAAUCUAAAUUUUUAUUUAUUUUUAUAAAAAUUUAAAAUAUAUAAAUAUUUUUUAAAUAAGUUAAAUUAUUUGUAUUAAAUAUAAAUUUUAAUUAAGCCGAAUAAAAGAAUUGUUAAAAAUAUAUAAAAAAUAAUGAAGGAAAUUUACAAAUGAAACAAUAAAAAAUAAAAAAAAUAAAAGAAUAAGAUAGAUAAAAGAAGAAUAAAGGCAAAAAUGUAAGAACAAUAAAUCAUUUUUUCUAAAAAUUAUAUAUAAUUAUAAUAAUAAUUAUAAUAUAUAUAAUUAUAAAUAUAACUAUAUAUAAUUUCUUAUUAAUAUGAUUAUUGCCUUUAUUUUUUUUUAAUCUUUCUUAUAAUUUAUUUUUAUAUUUUUAUUACAAUAAUAAUUCUUUAUUUUUUAGUUAUUUUUUUAUAUAAUUUUUGGCCUAGCCCGGGGAGGGGUGAAGAGGAAGUUUUUUUUUUUUUCUCUCAUCUCAAUUGUUCCCUUAUUUAUUAUUUUUUUAAAUCCAAUUCGGGAACAGUGCGGAUGGGACCCAACGGGAGAGAGAGGAGGGAGGCUUUUUUUUUUUUUCCUCUAACUUCAAUUUUUUUUUUGUUCAUGUACAUAGAAGAAAAUUUAUAAUAUUUUUAAGUCUAAUCUAAUUUUUUAUUUUAUACUAUAAAAAUUUAAAAUAUAUAAAAAAUUGGAUAAAAAAUGUUUUUGAAAGAUUGGAUUUACAUUUCCAUCCUUAAAGCUAUAAGACGAAUAAUAAUUUAAUCCUCAAAUUUUUAAUGUAUUAUGAUUUAAACAAUAAGGUAUCUGAUAUUUUCAUCCCCAAUCUUUAAUUAGUUACUUAUUUUUCAGUUAUUUAUUUUAUAUAAUUUUUUGACUUUUUAUUUUGCUAUUUUGUAAUUUAUUUAUUUAUUUUUAUGAAGUCAUCCCGCAGCAGCGCGCGGGUCCUUCACUAGUUAUCACUAUAACAUGGCGAGAUUUAAAUAUAACACAUACAAUACUUAUGUAGGGUCGUCGGCAUUAACCAUUAAUUUUAAAAACUCGAGUUAUUAAAAAGAUAAACGCAAUCUGACCACAGAGCUUUGGAGAAAAUGCGGUGCAAUUAACCCCAUGUGGCUCCGAAGCAUCCUUGUGAAUUGUUCUUAGGUUAAUGAACGAAUUGGACUCGAAUCUUUUUUAAAAAAGAAAGGUUCUUUAGAUGAGGCCAUUGUUGUUCCUAAAGGUGGUGGAUCUCCUGAUGCAUCAUCGCAUGGGCAUGAUGGGAGACACUUUGGCCAACGAAGUCUUGCGUGAUGGGUACCUGCAGAAUCAUUGGGUGGCACCGAACUGCAGAUCAGGUCCCAACCCAAUCCCAUUUUUGACCACUGAACCUGCAAUAUCCUUUUAUUAGUGGUACGUGAGAUCACAUACCAUGUUUGAGACUGUGGAAUAGAUUUCGGAAUAGGUUAAGAACCAUACACAUGCUUGCACGUGUUCACAGUUCGCAAACAAAAUGUGAGGGAUUUUGCUUGCCAGCACACACACCCUGAAAAAGUUCUAAUUUACACCUGGGGGGUUGUCAACGAACCGAACACGAACACGAGCAAGCUGGGCCGGCUCCUGUUUGCUCGUUUGUUAAACGAACCGAAUACGAGUUGGCUCGUUAAAAUAUGAAGCAACAAAAUGCAGCUCGUGCUCGAUUUGUAUUAUUACUAACAAGCCGAACACGACUUGAUUCACAAACAACAAGUCAGAUUAUCAGCCGUACUGCUACGUAAAAAUUAAAUUUUUUUUUUUUUAGAAAAUUAGAAUCUUGAUCUAAUAAUUAAAAUUCAUAAAAUAUAGGUCUCUUUUACAUUUGAGUUGAUUUAAAAUUCAUAUAGUAGAAAUUUGCAAUAUAUAUAUAUAUAUAUAUAUAUAUAUAGAGAGAGAGAGAGAGAGAGAGAGAGAGAGAGAGAGAGAGAGAGAGCGAACGUUCAGUUGGAUUGCCGGCCCUAGUAACAAUAAUAGCAAUACUAACAUGCUUAUAAAGAAACAAAUUGCGAUAUAUUUUUAUUUAGAGAGAAAAAUAGCAAGUUACACCCUUUGUUUAUUUUUUUAGAAUAAAUUGAGCAUGAAAUAUGAGAGAAUUAGGCUUCGAUUUUAAAACCUCCACUACCAACCAUCAAAUCUAUUAGGCAUUAAAUUCUUAUUGUAUUUUAGUACAAAUGAUAACUGUGAGAUUGGUAGGUGGUGCUGCGGAGAAGUAUGCUUUAGGGACUACAUUCAUAAAUAAAUAAAUAAAUAAAUGAAUGAACAAGCAAUUAUUCUCUAAGCAAAAGACAAUAAGCAACUUGGAUUACUUUACUUGGUAACCAAAUGUUAAUUAGUGUUUGUCCUUGAUAAUGAUUGAGAAUCCCAUUAAAAAUUGUGGUAUUUAAAAUCAGAAUCAAAGAAUACGCAUCCAAUCAGACUUUUUUAGUACAAGUUUUUUCAAAGAUUUUUUUUUUUUUUAAGAGAGAAAAAUAGCAAGCUAUCUGCGUAAUUCAGUUCUUAAAACAAUUAAGUUUUGAAUUUAAAAUUUCAAAUAUCAUCUAUUAAAUUUUUAGACAAUUAGGCUAAGUAAUAGUAGGUGAGUUUUCUCAAAGAACGUAUAAAGAAAUAAUUGGUGUGAAAAUGUCAAAGUCAACGUAGGUGAUGCCUACAAGGCAACAUCUCUCUAGUUUUAAAGAGAAAGAGAUUGAAGCCAUUUGCUCAACUGCUUCUUUCUAAUUAACAAAAUUACAUCAUUUUCUUAAGCCAAGUUAGACUCGGGUCCGGAUAUUUUAUACCAUACCCGACUUAGACCCAACCCAAAUCCAACUUUUAAAUAGGUAGAGUCUGGAAUAGUUUUUAAAUCUAGACCCAAGCCUAGACCGAGUAAAAUAUCCGAUAGUAAAUAAAAAAGAAUUGAACUUUUGAAGUUAAGGGAUCAAUUUUAAUAGAAGUUAUAGAUUGGGGUCUCUACGUAUUUUCAUUCUAGUGAAAUCCUAGCCGCUCAUUCACUCCUUUCUUUUUUCUAGUCUUUUUCUUUUUGUUUUUUACUCAUUAUUUUUUUGUUUCAUUUCCGUCUUAGGGUUUUUUAUGAAAUAAUAUUUCCAUACAACAAUUCUCUACAGGCGUAGCACGGGUGAGUUUUUUUUUUCAAAUCUCUUUUCUAAUUAUAAUUGACAAUCUAGUUUUUUUUAAUGAAUAUUUUGUUCAGUAAAUUUUUUUUAUUCCUCUUUAUCGGGAUUUUUUUUUUUGAAUGAAUUUUAUUGGACUGUGUACAACUUAUUAGAACGUGAGUUCUUUAUAGGGGAAGGUUUAUAGUUUGUCCAUAAACUAUUUAAUAAAGUCUCUCUCUCUCUCUCUCUCUCUCUCUCUCUCUCUCUCUCUCUCUCUCUCUAUAUAUAUAUAUAUAUAUAUAUAUAUGAGCUAGGAUGGUAUACUAUCGGUAGCACAGAGGUCUCCGUGCUACUAAGUUGUUUUCAAUGAUGCAGUUUCCAAAUCGACGAUCGGCUCCGUUAGACUUGAUCUACACCAUUGAAAGUAUUUGGAAACUAAAUUUCAUAAAUUUUCGACAUCAUUUACCUAUCAAACGAGUAGUCUAAAAAUGAACAGCUGAAAAUAAAAAUCUCCUAAAAAAUGAUGAUAAAGACUUAAAUUUAAAAUCAAAGGUACUGAUCUUACUUUAAAUAGUGAAAAGAAUUUUCUAUAAAAAUUUCAUCAGAUUUGAAUUAUUUUAUACCGUUAAAUUCACAAACGCAUCACAUCUACCAUUAAAAUUGUCAAUUUUGAGACCUUUUGAUCACUAGCCAAAUGAUGUCGAAAAAUUAUGAAAUUUAGUUUCCAAAUACUUUUAAUAGUGCAGAUCAAGUCUAACGGAACUGAUCGUCGAUUUGGAAGCCGCAUCAUUGAAAACAACUUGGUAGCACGGAGGCCUCCGUGCUACGGAUAGUAUACCAGCCUAGCUCUCUCUCUCUUCUUCUCGUCUCUCUCUCUCUCUCUCUCUCUCUCUCUCUCUAUUUAUAUAUAUAUAUAUAUAUUAUAUAUAUGUAUAUAUAUAUAUAAUUAUAUAUAUAUACAUAUAUAUUAUAUAGAUAUUAGAUAUAGAAGAGAGGAGAUGAGUGAGAGAGAGGAGAGAGAGUAGAGAGAGAGAGAGAGAGGUUGAACUGGGCUAUAUUAAGUAGCAAAAUCUCAUUGAGUGCCUACCAGUUUUUAGCAUUGGAUCACUCUUUUAUUAUUUUCACAUUGGAUUAAAUACUAUAACCCAUGGGACCACUCAACCCUAGGGGCACAAUUCAACUUAACCGACUAAUAUCAUCCUGACCCUACAAUUUUUCAUCCAAGAGUUAAAACUUUGAUAGCAAAAAAAGCAUUUUACUAUUAAUAGUAUUCCAACUAAUUAUAUAUUAUAUUAUAUAUAUAUAUAUAAUAUAUAUAUUAUAUAUAUAUAUAUUAUAUAUAUAUAUAUAUAUCUAUAUAUUUGAGCUCCUAUGCUUUUAAAAGUAUCAAGUUAUUGGUACUUGUAGAUUUUUUGCCCAUUGGAUUAAGAGAUAUGCGUUAGGAUGAUGUGAGCCCCUUUAGAUUGAGUGGUGUGGUUGGUUGAAUAAUAUAAUCUAAUGGUUGAAAUGAUCGAGAAAUAGACUAACGGUAAAAAACUUACAAGCACCAAGUUCUUGGUGCUUUUACAUACACCAUAGCUGGACUCUCUUCUCUCCUCUCCUAUAUAUAUAGAGUUCGACUGCUAUAUGCUAUCGAUAGCACCAAUUGUUAGAAACUUUAUAAGAAACUAGAUCGUACUUUUGCCAUAUUUGAUUUCUAUACCCGAUUUUGUAAGCGGCAAUCCUUACUCGUGGUUCGUCCUCGUUUCGGUGAUCUGCAAGAAGACGGGACGAUUUCGAGUCUAAUUCCCUUAUCCCCAAGAUGGAGCCGUCACAAACAAUUGGUUAGGUUUAGCGGGACUCCCGUAUGUUACAUAUUUAUAUAUAACUUAAUGUAAGGAUGUUAAAUCACGUCCGUCCAUAGGAUGAUCCAGAUACAUUCUAACCGUAAGAUCUAAAAUAUCUUUAUAGAUCGACUUAAUAGAUUGACCGUAUCUUUUGGAUCGCUUGAAUAUAUCACGUGGGCAAUCCAACAUUCUCCCAUGGCGUAGUGAUAUAUUUAUUACCGUAUAGGCGAUACAAAACUUUAUAGGUACCAACUAAAUUAUACAGUCAAAAUCUCUCAUCGACCAGAAAUCAUAAUACUUUGAUCAUAGCGGUUAUGCCCAAAAGAUGAAACUUCCUUCCAUAUAUCAAAAGUACGAAUCCUUUAAUCAAAUAACUUUAUGAGUUACAACCGUAUGAACUUAUUAUAAGUUCAAUCAAAGUCUCACUUUAGUGCCACAUAAAACUUUAUUGUACAAAAUAACUUUUAUGCGCAUAUGUGGAAACCAAAUAUAUUCUUACUCAAAUAAGGAAUAGUCUUUAAAGUCUUUAUAUAAGAGAAACACUUAAAUUGUAAAUAGGACUCAAGAUACCCAUAUGAUGAUAUGAAUCCUUGAUAUUAUUUGUCGGCAAUGCUUUAGUCAUAGGAUCAGCAAUCAUCUUCUCGGUCCCAUGUGUUGGAUAUCACCUUCUUUUUGUCAUAUUCCUUCAUUAGCAAGAUACUUUAUAUCGAUAUGUUUGCUGCGAUCUGUAACUCGACUAUUCUUGGCAAAGAACACUGCAGCAGAGUUGUCGCAAUAAAUCUUAAUUGCUUGAGAUAGAGUCGACAACUCUUAAACCUGAGAUAAAAUUUCUCAGCAUAAUGCCUGUGACGAAGCCUCAUAGCAAGCGAUGAACUCUGCCUCCAUAGUGGAUGUAGACUGUAUCUUGCUUAGUGCUCCUCCAGAUAUAGCCACUUGAGCAAGUAAGAAAAUAUAUCAUGAUGUGGACUUUCUAGAAUCCACGCAUCCAGCAAAAUCAGAGUCCGAAUAUCCAACCACCUUAAGAUGGUCAGAAUGUCUGUAUGUGAGCAUAUAAUCCUUUGUUCCUUGUAAAUAUUCAUAACCUUCUUUGCAGCUUUCCAAUGAUCAAGGCGCAGGGUUGUUUUAGUAUCUACCAACAUCCCACUGCAUAACUAUAUCAGAUCUGGUACAGACCUGCGCAUACAUCAAGUCCCUACUGCAGAGGCAUAGGGUAUGCUCUUCAUAUAUUCUCGUUCUAAAUCAUUCUGAGGACACUGUUUCUGAUUGAACCUGUCACCUUUAUAAUAGCGCCAGCUGUAGGUGCAAGUUUGCCAUAUUAAAUCUUUCUAGAACUCUUUCGAUGUAGGCUUUUGAGAUAGACCCAAAAUCCUUGAGAUCUAUUUCUGUGAAUCUUUAUGCCAAUGACAAAAGAGCUUCACCCCUAUCCUUCAUCUCAAAAUUCUUAGAAAGAAAUUUUGGUAUCUUUAAGUAAACUCAAAUCACUACUUGCAAGCAGAAUAUCAUCCACAUACAGAACUAAGAAUAAUAUACUUACUCCACUCACCUAAAGUAUAUGCAUUGAUCCACAAUAUUUUCUACAAAUCGAAUGUAGUAAUUACAUUAUGGACUUGAUAUACCACUGACGGGAGCCUGUUUAAGUCCGUAUAUAGAUUUCUUUAGUCUGCAAACAAUGAUUACUUUCAUCUGUGCUGAAACCCUGGGCUGUUGCAUAUAGACUAUCUCCUCUAUUUCCCCAUUUAGAAAUCUGUUUUACAUCCAUUUGAUGUAACUCUAAUCGAAAUGAACUAUCAAAGCCAUGAUAAUUCUUAAUGAAUCCUUUUUAGAUACCGGAGAGAAGGUUUCAUGAUAAUCAAUGCCUUCUUCCGAGUGAAACUUUGGCAACAAGUCUGACCUUAUGGGUUCUAUGUUACCUAAAGAUCCUUUUGGUCUUGACGACCAUUUACAGCAAUGGCUUUUAUCCUUGUGGUAACACAACGAGAUCCCAAACUUUGUAUCCGUCAUAUUUCAUUCUCUCACUUCAUGGCAUCAUACCAUAGUGAGAUUUAUCUCCCUGCUAUGGCUUCUGAAAAUGUCCAUGGGUCUUUAUGAUGUCGAACAUCAAAGUCAGACUCCUGAAGAUAGACUACAUAAUAUCAGGAAUUGCCGAUCUCCUUUGUCUUGAGGAUCUUCUUAAGCCAACCUCUUCCGCAUAUUUUCAUUAUUCUGUGCAGCUGGCUCUAUAUAUUUCUGUUUCUCUUGGACAGAUCUUCAUGGGAGUUCAACUGGUUCAGCAUUUUCAUGCUCUAAAUUAAUUGAUCUCCAUUUAUGGUCAAAUUGACCUCCUGGUAGAGCAACUAAUUAUUAUCUGUUGAUGAUGAACCAGUUGAAUCCUUAUUUCCUCAAAAUCCAUCUUUUGAGGAACAACACUCCACUAGUUUCAGAAUCCUCAAGAAAUUUAGCAUUCCUGGUCUAAUAUCUUGGAUGGUGAUUUGGACAAUAGAACCUGAAUUCUUUAGAGUUUACCGCAUAGCAAUGAAAUAUCCACUGACUGUAUCGAGGGUCCAAUUCUUUAUGUGUGGAAUAUAACCUACCUCAGCUGGACAUCUCAUACGCUGCAGGUGAUUUAAACUAGGUUUCCAUCCUUUCAUAAUCGAAAGGAGUUUGGAAAUAGCCUUUGAUGGAUCCUAUUAUGAAAUAUCACACCGUGUCUUUAGUGCUUCACUCCAAGAGAAAUAGAAGACAAGAGCUACAAUCAUGCUCCUACCAUGUCCUAUAGUGUUCUAUUCCUCCUGUGGAGUCAUUGGCCCACUACCUUAGGCGUGGCUCACGCGCAGAGUCAAGUCUAAAUCCAUAUAACCCAAAGUUAAAGAAUAAUUUUUCCAAUCAGAAUAAUUGUCGCCAGUAGCAUAGGAAUACGAGAAACAUCAUUAAGAAAUGCAGUAGAGGAAGAAGCUGCAAAAACAAAGGAAAUAUUAAAUUUUAUCGCCUACUAUAAGAUAAUAAUCUUUAGAUUAGAUAAAUUCUACCUUCCUGUGGGCAGAGGUGCUACACGCAUAGAUUUUAUCUACUUUAAUAAUAAGACUAGCAGAAAACUAAUUUCUAAACAACAAGAUUUCUGUACCUGUGGGCAUAGGAAAACUCGCUAUCUAGAAAUUCAAUCCACUAUCUUAUUCCAGUCAACAUUCAGAAAAUUAAUUUAUUUGACUGCAAUAAAUAGUCAAACUUUAAUUCAAUAUCAGUAAUAUCUUAUAUAUUUUUCAUUAUCUAUAGGAUGCUGUGGCUACUCCUGAGCAUAAUGAAAAAUACAAAGAACCUUAUUUGACAUUGAAUGACUAUUUUAAAAUAAAUUAGGAAUCCAAAUGAAUUUUCGAGUUAACUUUAAAUCAAUAUCAUCUUAUAAAAAUACUAUAAGUGAACAAAUAUCAUGACUAGGAUGCUGUGGCUACUCCUAGACAUAAUUAAUCUCACAUUAACCUUUAUAUGAUAUUGAAUGACCGAAAAUUUCACAUUAUUCCAUAACGCAGCGGAAAGAUAAAAGUUCAAAAUAAUUUUCUUUACAAUUUUAUGUGACUCAAAAAUUAUAAACUGUAUGAAGUCUAUAUUCUCUACUCAAAUUUUCAUGAUCACCUUAUAUAUGUUUAGAGUAAUAAUGCAAAAAUAUUUUGUAAAAUAUUAAACUAAAUAUACUACUUUAUAUCAUGAAUAAACAAACGAGUAUGUUGUGCUGCCGAAUGUCCCGACCCUUGACCUGGUCAAAUAUUCUCCUCGGGAAGAACGUCGGGAUGCGAGACGGCUACGGAUUAUGACCCUCGAAGUAUGCGCCCACAAAGAAUCAAGCGAUUAGGCCGAUGAAGGAUCGAAUCAGCCGGGUUCGAAAACCUCCACAGUAAAUUCGCUUCGGCAGGAUAAGCCGAAUGGAGAGGGGAAGCCCAGAAUUCGACUAAGAAAUGAGCCGAAUGGCUAAACAACUUGUGAUCCGAUCGGCAGAAAGAGCCGAAGAUGACUUUCUAUUGAAUAGAAAAUGGAAAAGUACAAGAACAGGGGAGUGAUGCCCGUGGGGCAGACAGACUCCAAGUAUAUUCUACAAGGGAGUGAUGCCCAUGUGGCAGACAUACUCCAAAGAUCUAUAAGGGAGUGAUGCCUAUGGGGCAGACAGACUCCAAAGAUCUAAGUUACAAGAACUACUCCUAGGAAAGCAGUAAAUGCGGAAAAGAAAAAGAUUACAUUUAGACUACUCCUAGAAAAGCGAUAAAAUGCAGAGAAAAUAAGGAUGGUCUUUUGUGCGCAGGGGCAAAGACCUCUAUUGCAGGCUUCAAAGUUACUAUUUAUAGCCCACAUUAUUAGUUGGUUGAAAGUAGUUGGGGGGAGUGGUUGUAACCAUGAUCGUGGAAGUUAUACUAACUCCUCAUGGAAGUUACGCUAACUCCUCAUGGAAGUUACGCCCCAAUCUUCAACCGUUCCCGCCUUCUUGUCCUUCAGGCGCCUUAUUGCCGACUCCUGGUGUACCACGUGUCCUUAUUGGCUCAUACGUGGGUUAGGUCGGCUCAAUUUUGGUAUCAACAAUGCCCCCCCAAUAGUCUUUCGAAUGAACAUUCGGAUGACUAUUGGUGCCAAAUCGACUGUUCAAAAGCACAGCCGAGACCCAAGCUUUAGUUUCGCUGGUCUUGGUCGGCUUUAGGAAAACGGCGCUUUAUCAUCCCAGCCACAUAUAUCUCGGCUUCAUCAGCCGAUUCUUUACUUUUAUUCGAUUAGUUCGGCUCUUCUUGAACCGAAUGUUUUUCUAUCAAGAAAUUCUUCUUAAAGAAAGUGGCUAUAUCUCGGCUUCAUCAGCCGAUUCUUCACUUUCACUCGAUUGGCUCGGCUCUUCUUGAACCGACUGUUCUUCUAGCAAGGAUUUCUCCUUGCCUUUGCUUUGAUUUUUAUAUCGGCUCCAUUGCAGCCGAUCGUCCUCACUUUUCUUCUGAAAUUGCUCGUAUUGGGCAACUCGAACACCUAGAUCAAAUAGGUUAGAAAAAUACUUAUCUUCAAAAUGGUCUUUUAUCUUAAAAUGCAGACCAUUUAACGCCAUUUUGGCGAACUCUGAUUCCGGCAUUCUCAUAAAGCACCGGGUUUUGGCUAUUUUGAAACGGUCCAAAUACUCUUCGACCGUUUCACCUGACAUUUGUCGGUAUAAAGCCAAGUCGGCGACCGAUAAUUGUGGCUCCGAUCUAUAGAAUCGCUCAUGAAAUUUUCUUUCCAAUUCGUCCCAAUCUUGGACGGAAUUGGCUGAUAAACUUGUAUACCAAGUAAACGCCGUUUUAGUUAACGACGUGUUAAAUAAUCGAAGUUUCAAAAAUGAGUCAGCGGCCGCUUCUCUACAUUGGGCCGUGAACCGGGCUAUAUGCUCGACCGUAUUCUCGGUCUCAUCGCCCGAGAACUUGUCGAACUUCGGCAUUUUCCAGUUUGCCGGAUACGGAUGCUCUGUAUCUAUAUUUGCUGGAUACGGGGAUCGAAAAACAGGCCGCAUAGCCGGCCUGGCCCCUACUCCGAAGGUAUUCCGAAUGACUUCCUCAAUCUGAGCAUACAGCGGAGCUUGUGCUUGAGCCGAAUUUGGCCCUUGAGGAACUCCAGAAUUCUGUAUUGCAGGGUUCGCUCCUUGCAUAUCAUUAGGGGCCUGCCCCCCGGCUCUAGCCCCUACAUUUUGGGGCUGGUAUGCUGCCAUCGGCGGAGGUGGUGGCAAUCCCCAUGUAAUUUCCGGCUGUUGACCGGUAUUGACGACGGCCGGUCUGUAAGCCGCUUGGAAUGGUGCCCCCUGGUAUUGGGGCUGUCCAUUUACCGGUGUCGCAGGAUUUUGCAACACUGGUGUCAUCAUAGGCCUUUGUAAGCCUGUCAUUGGUUGCUCAUUUCGAGUCAAUAAUUGUCCUAUUCGUGCAAUAUGUUCAUUAUAGGUCGUGAUAGCAGCCAGCACCGCGUCUAGUCGAGCAGUACUUUGAUGGAUAUUUUGAUAUAAAGUUUGCAGGACUCGGCUCAUCUGGCCGAGUGCCUAAGUUAGACUCGGCUCUUGAUGAGCCGACUGUCCACUAGUCUCUCCUUCAACUGGCAAAACUGCUUGACAUUCGCCAGCAUUGUCUGAAUCACUAGGUUGAUCACUCCCAGAAUUUCUAGGAACAACCCUAUUACGUAGAUCAUCAGCCAUAAUUUAUAUAUAACUUUACCUAAAAAUGAGUCCCACCGGGCGUGCCAAAAAAUUGUUGUGCUGCCGAAUGUCCCGACCCUUGACCCGGUCAAAUAUUCUCCUCGGGAAGAACGUCGGGAUGCGAGACGGCUGCGGAUUAUGACCCUCGAAAUAUGCGCCCAUAAAGGAUCAAGCGAUUAGGCCGAUGAGGGAUCAAAUCAGCCGAGUUUGAAAACCUCCACAGUAAAUUCGCUUCGGCAGGAUAAGCCGAAUGGAGAGGGGAAGCCCAGAAUUCGACUAAGAAAUGAGCCGAAUGGCUAAACAACUUGUGAUCCGAUCGGCAGGAAGAGCCGAAGAUGACUUUCUAUUGAAUAGAAAAUGAAAAAGUACAAGAACAUGGAAGUGAUGCCCGUGGGGCAGACAGACUCCAAGUAUAUUCUACAAGGGAGUGAUGCCCAUGGGGCAGACAGACUCCAAAGAUCUAUAAGGGAGUGAUGCCUAUGGGGCAGACAGACUCCAAAGAUCUAAGUUACAAGAACUACUCCUAGGAAAGCAGUAAAUGCGGAAAAGAAAAAGAUUACAUUUAGACUACUCCUAGAAAAGCGAUAAAAUGNNNNNNNACCCAGUACUGAUGUUACGUAUAUUCCUACGUUAUUUGUUGUAGAGGAUCGUAUGAUGUACAUACAUACUUAUGGGUUUACAGGUGUUGAUACGAUCUUCAUUCGGGUUCAUUAGGAUGAUGAUGAAAGACUGAUCAUCACUAGUAUUAUUUGAGUUGUGGCACAGCUAAAGGUAAAGGUUAAUUCCUGGAUGGUUUCCAUCAGAUCGAACACGGCGGAUUCACGGACACCAUCGGGCUGUAAGGAUGAGAACCUUACACAGACAGGGUGAGCUGGGGCAUCCGAAGAGUUAUGGCGUGGUCGCUUGUAUUCAGCGCAUCCGAUUGAGGCCUCACGGCCGAACAUCCCUCGCUGGGAGUGUUCGUACACGCUUACUCGUGUUUACCGUUCGUUCGUUCCAGUUUCAGAGUUCAUGAGAUGAGAGUACGGAGAGUGUACCGUUCCGGUGAUCGUAGGGUUCCUAGAUCAGGUUUCAGAGUUUCACUGCGAGGUUGCGUGUGGGAGCGAAUCACGGAGAAAUACUGUGAAUUCGUAGUGCUGAUUAGUACGGGUUAAGUACAGGGCAUAAGGUUAAUUGAUCCAAGUGAAAUCGGGCCCGGGGGUACGGAGAAAUACUGUAACCGGGUUAGAGUUUAUCAGGUUCAAGAGUUCGGAAGAGAUCCGGGGAUUUUAAGGAUAACAGUGUUAACCGUAUAUCCAAUUUACGUACUCUCGUUCCAAGUAAAGGUGUUAUCCUGGGUACUAGGUGUUAAGAUUGAUCUUACGAUUCAGAGUGUACGUACGUGAGAUGGUGUAUCCCCAGAUUUUAAAGUGAUAUGUAUUAUAUACGUACAAUUCGUAAGAUUUUAAGUAUAAUUUAUGUAAAUUGUACCUUUACGUACUUAAAGAUGAAAUGCUUUGUAUAAACGGUUUAUACUCGUAAAGAGUAUAGUAUCCGAUCCAGUUUGGGUGGCUUGGCAGCGCACGAGGAAGCUAAGCGGCUUGCCUCAACAGGUGCUCAGAGUGUUAUGGGAUUUUCAUUAGUCGCUUCUCUAUGCUUUCGUAAUGCUGGUUGGUUCUCUAGUUUGUAAUUGGAUCUUCGUUUUUCCCGGUUGUAAAUGGAGUUCUCAUCUUUAGAGAGGGUUUCGAGGUUUUCUCUCGAUCUUGGGAAGGUUAGGUUCGGGAUCCUUCUAAGAUUUGGUUAAUUAGAUCGGAGUUUUCGGGAUCUAGUUUUUCGGGGUUUUAGUUGGGAUUUAGAGUAAAGAUCCCAAAGUAGAGGGUUUUUAGUGUUUUUAUUCUUAGAUCUCCUCCCUUUGUACUAUGAUUGGGAAACCUUCGAAGUUAGGUUCGGGUUUUACGGGUUCCCAACUUCAAACCAGGUGGUGAUUCGAGAUGUUCGUUCGAGGUUCAGAACGUUUCCACCCUUUCUCUCUUUCCCCAACUUGAGGUUCGAGGGAGUUCGAUCGGGAGAAGAAGAAGAGGAGUAAGAAGAAGAAGAAGAGAGAGAUCUUUCACAUCCCUCUCCCACUCUUACUCUCUUACUCUCUCCCUUCUCCCCCUUUACCGAUUAUUCGGGUAGAUCACAUUGUUUUAGACCUCUCCGGGGAGUUUUUGAGCUAUAACGUUGUCGGGCUUGACCCGUCAAAAGCGGGUCUCCCUGGCCAGAGAGGGGUCGUCCCUGGCCAGAGAGCGACGCUUGAGCUUUUUGGUCGCAAGCCCUUGGCCAGAGAGGGACGCGCCCUGGCCAGAGAGUGACGCUUCUGCGCGAGCCCCUGGCCAGAGCGGACGAUCCCUGGCCAACGGAGUCCGACGGAGUCGUGACGAGUGACCCCCUAGCCAGAGAGGAAGGUCCCUGGCCAGGGGCUCUCACUUUUGAGAGUCCUGACAGGUCUUAAGGUCAAAAGCUUGAAAAAUCCAGCCUUUUGUAAGAUGUUGGGAGGUGGUUCACACCUUUUCGAGCUUUAUGUGGGUUUGUGAGCUUGGGGCGUUAAACGUUUCCAGGUCACGCAGUGUCACGAUGGUUCAACAAAAGCUACUACGCCGAAGGUUUAGCCACUAGCCGAGGCAAUCUAAACUAGAUGUGAUAACUUUCAUAAACCUUUGAUUUAAAAUCUAAAAAAGCUGUAGUAAACUGAUCACUAGUUUUCUAGAGUUUUAACUGUUAAAAUUACCGGCUACACCACACAAACACUCAAAUUGCCAUAUUUUGUCAGGUUUAAGCUACUUUUAAAAUAUCUUUUAAGAAAAGUGAUAAAUCUCAUUCUAGUCAUAUAGACUAGAACUUAAAUUUAGAAAAUAGUAGUAAAAAAUACUCUAAAAAUAAAAGUCGGCAAGUUAAAAUCUGAUGAAUAAACAAUCCAUUUACUAUAGCUUUUUAAUACUUUAAAUCAAAGAUUUAUGAAAAUUAUCACAUCUAGUUCAGAUUGCCUCGGCUAGCAGUUAAACCUUCGGCGCAGUAGCUUUUGUUGAACCAUCGUGCCUCGGGAGGCACGAUGGCUAUCAUAUCAUCGGAUCGAGAGAGAGAGAGAUAUAUAUAUAUAUAUAUAUAACUCGAGGAUACGAAAAUUUUCAUGGUUCAAUAACCACGAACAUCUAAAAAUCGGUGACCUAAUUUUCUAUACGCCAAUCCUACUACACCCGGGGGAUCCCAACUCACCCACCAACCAACUUAUCAUAUUAGAUUACCAAUUUUUACUAGGCUUCUCAUCUAGAUUGCCAUUUUUUGAAUGUUCGUGGUUCACGAACCACGAAAAUGUUCGUGGUAUCGAUCUGAGAUAUAUAUAUAUAGAGAGAGAGAGAGAGAGAGAGAGAGAAAAAGAAAAAUCUGCAGAUACCUCUCGCAAGUUCUUACUAUACGAAUACAGCCUCGGGGAUGAAGAGCGCGAGCAGGCGAAAAACUGACACCGGGUUUUUAAAAAAUGCUUCCCUGAGGUAACUUGGUCACCCGUCAAUACGCAAGAAGACGUUACCGAUUAAAGUGGGUUCCUAUGAAAGAGCUACAGCCUAGCCUAUGACAGCAAAAUGAUCUUGGGUGCCCCUUAUGUGCACCCCGCCUCCUGCACGUAAUGAACCCGGAGACGUAAAAUAUCCCAGCGGGAUCAACCGCCCCAGAAGCUUAAGACCCGCUGCCCUGACAGAACUUGCCGGAAUGUCUUACCUUCUUACUGUUUUAGGCUGCUAAGUUUUGGUGUAAUACAAGUCGACUAUAAGAACCUCCUUAAUAGCGGAAACCCCCAUUUAUACUUAAUCUGAGUUCUUAUAAGUUCCCGAAUCACUUUCGAACCACAAGACUCUGAUUAUGAAAAGUAAAAGGAAUACCCCUCUAACCAUAAAGAGAAACCCUAUAGUCCCAUAAUCCUCAGUAAGGAUAAGAGCCUCUCUACAUACUUCUCAAGUAUGGUUCCUUGACACUAGAACUAUAGAUAUCACGAUCAGAGUGAAGAAACGAAUGUCAUAUACUCACCGAAUGAUAGUCUUUGGUCCCCCCAGGCCAAAUAAUAUUAGUGACCUAACUAAUAACCAUAGCUCCACUAUAGCGCAGAAGAAGAGCUGGUGCAAACUAAUCGCUACUACUCGUAACAUAACCGGGUGGGUAGUCCCUGUUACCGAUAUCCCGACGCAAGAAUAGUAACACCGAAACGUUUAAGUAAUACGUUAGUCCAGUUUCCCUAUGCUAAGCGGGUCUCCAGAAACAAUAUCGGAGGUUUGACCCACUCCCCGAGUUUCAGCGAGAUCGAGGAAGCCACAAUACGAGUUAAGUUCACCGAAAUCCAGUGUAUCGGAGACUAGGCGCCCCCGGAAGGUUAAGAUUAAUGGCGAAGGGGUAAGUAAAAAACCGUUGCACCUAAGUAAGAGUGAAGGCUCCCUGAACGUGGGCGCAUUUUAAGCUACGGCUUCAAUAUUCCCACGACUUAGCAUACGUCUAGGGGCUUUACAAUGCUAAAUUUCUACGCUCCUAAUGAAGAAUAUUAAGCUCUUCUGUAGUGGUUUUGCUUUUCUCUAGCUCCUAUGUAGAUACCGUUGUCCUAUUUAAGCAAACCGUGGGCAAGAGUAAGCGAGGUAGGUUUCUUCCAACCCAAGUACUUUAUCAAUUAAACCGCCCCCGCUGUCUCAAGGGUCUAUUAUAGUUCCUCAUGGACUACAGGUAGGCAGUAUCAUAGUAUGGUGAUGCAUACCCUUUAUAUGAGGUACGUGUUGGAAUGUUAGGAGUGUCCAAACGAGCGGUUAAACCAAAACUAGUCGUGAUACGAUCUCUACGACUGUUAUAUCAAUCCUAACAACAAAGUCGUCCACACAACUCUCCUAUAACCAGUGUGAAGUAUUUUCAGGCGGUAAAAUGGUCUAAAAAAUAAGGUUUACGCUUAGCACAACCUUUUGGUUGUGUAAACAUACGAGAAACCACCUCCUCAUACAAUCUCGGAAUAAAGAGCAGACCUUAACUAAGCAACCAACUCGUACUUAAUUUGGGUUUCGUUUAAGUGUCUGGGUAGGGAUCCAGAAGCGGACACCUCAGAGCUGCACCACGAGCACUCUAUUCGGCCAAACGAGUAUGUCGAUUCGUUUUAGAGAACCGUCCUAGACGAGUAGUAAGAGAAGUCGUCUGCGUGCUCUAAGGCCUGCAGGGAUUAAGUAGAAACGAACACGUAUUAGCUAAACUUGGGUUAUAUCAUUAGCUAGUCUAGCAACGAUUCUCUCCCGAAGGGCUUCUGAGCUCGGCAUCUCUGGGCUUUUCUGAGGCACAACUACGUAGUUACCGGCGCUGCUCGCAAUGUUCUCUUUUUCCAUUCGUAAAUAUACGUAACAGGAAAGAAAAAGGAGAAAAGAGAAUAAAUAAAUAUAGAGAGAAGAAAAAAAAGAAAAAAAAAGCGAAGAGUUUAAGCACGUUCCUCCUAAGAACUCCUCUUUGACGGUAGUGGUUGUGGGAGACCUCCAUAGGUUAGAAAGAAGAAGAAGAGAGAGAAAAUAAAUAAAUAAAUAAAUAAAAAAAUGAGAAGGAAAAAAAAGGAACGUCUGGUAGAAUUGCUCUUAUGAAUAAGAGAGUACUAACCGUUGCUUCAUCUCGGAGGAGAUCAAGAACGAAGAAAACUUCUCCCAUUACUCGGAAAGAAGACAGAUAAAGAAGAUAAAAAAGAAGAAAAAAAAAAAAUGAUUAAGGGGCUACAAACAAAUACAUCUAGCACUGGCAUUAGGGAACUAACUACGUUUCUGAUAACACCGCCUAGGAGUCCUGUAACGAAGGGGUGCUCCACGGAGGAAAAAUAAAAUAAAAUAAAAUAAAAAAAACUUGUAGAACUUUAUACCCGUCCGGAGGAUUGAUGGGGGGGGGGGAAAAAAAAAACGGCUCUAGCUUCUGUCAUAGGGAAGAGCUAUAUUGGGACUUCAGCUGAUGCUUUGCUGAGGUAGCCAAUCAUUCGUACUAAGUCUGAGCGGAGUUCUAUGCCAUUAGAGUAUUCUGGACAUAUGCUUCUGGUGAGUACACGAAGGUCAUAUUACUACUGGCUAAACGAGAGGAAAAGGGGAAAAAUCACCCACCAGCUUCUUCUACAGAGUCUAUGUUUAUACCAUCAAAGGCGCGCGUGAGAUUAUCCUUUACUCAGGUUCCUAUUACAACUACUAUGUCGAUGUUGUUCUAUAAAUCUCUAAUUCAGACAUUUGCCUCUACUAGGAUAACGCCAACACCCGCAAAGCGGCCUCUUGUACGAAAACUUUCUUCCACUACCGCGUCCAGUAAAUUAUAGAAGGCUGGUACCGCAACCUGUCCCUUCAUCUGGAUGGAACUAUCUAGUAAACUAGCUCUAUCACUCCUGGAGAUUAAUAGUGAGAAUAGUGCGGCAGGUUCUUUUUCAAUGGCUCAUAACACUUUAAGAUAGGGCAUACCCCCAGCUUUAGAAUCCGAACUCAUGCGCAGAGGUCUUCAAUAAAUUCCUUCGCCUUCGAUAAGCUCUCCAACGACGAGUAGGUAGAAUAAGAAGCAGUCGAGCAUAGAACUUCCGGUUCCCCGUGUGCUCAGCUUAGUGAUUCCUCGAGUUUCUAAUACUGAGAUUUUCCUCAAGAAACUGGACUUGAUUCCUUUUUCGAAACUGGAAUGCACUAGUCGUUACGAUUUCCCAACUCCUAAAUCUCUCCUGAGAGCGUCGUCGCGUUCGUUUCUUUCGGCUUGACUUGCUGCUCCAGUUAUGAUAUUUGCUUACGUAGAGAGCCGAACUGAGCCCGUUCCUAUUUCUUCACCGUUACUACUUUCCUUGUCAACUUCUUAAACCUCGCUGACUUCCAUCAGUAUCGUACUGCCACCUUAAGUUAGUGGAAAGUUUAGAGUAUUUCCUAAAACUUGUAGUAACGUCCUUAUAUGCAUUGUAGUCAUGACCAAGUAUUACUGUCAUAUCUGUAUAAAGUAAAGCAUGAUAUUACUUGUGAACAUAUAUAUCCAUGACAAAAUAAAGUCGCAUUAGGAAUGCCAUGUUUAAUUGCAAGUUGUAGCUUAGCAUCCUAAUUAUUAUGCUUUCUAAUAUGCAAUUUACUCGUUACUCUUAUUGUUGUACUUACCCUUUUCUUUUGGGGCCUAGUGGUGCAUUGAGCUGAGGUCAGUAAUUGCCCACUGGGAACUAUAAAUUAUAGUUCUCACGCCCUCUUUUCCUCGAUGUUUUUCAGAGCCUUCCACUCAGGGUGAGGCCAGGGACCGCGGGAAGGGAGUUGCUUCGAGCUAGCUUCCUACGAGGACGACUUGCUAGGUGGUCUACCUCUCGUUGUACUUUUUUUUGGAGAGGUUGAGAGUUUUACCAGUGUACUAGAGACCACCGUUUUGUAUUAGAGGCUGAUACUGUAUAACUUAUGUUUACUUUUAUGUAUUAGGUAUGUUCUAUUACUAUUAGUAUAGAUGUUAGAACUUUACUCGCUCUGAUAUCAUUAGCUGCUCAUUAUUUCACUUCUUCUAUUGUUUUACUACUUGCUUUUACUUCCGCUUUUAUUGUAGACGCCUUAUAUGUGUUGACAUAUGGCGGGUCUGGGCACACUACCGGGAGGGCCUUCGCCGGUCCCGGGGCGUGACAAGCACGGAGCCCUCCGUGCUACCGAUAAUAUAGUAGCCGGACUAUAUAUAUAUAUAUAUAUAUAUAUAUAUAUAUAUAUAUAUAUAUAUAUAGCCUGGUAUACUAUCGGUAGCACGGAGGCCUCCGUGCUACGAAGUUGUUUUCAAUGAUGCCGCUUCCAAAUUGACGAUCGGCUCUGUUAGACUUGAUCUACAUUAUCGAAAGUAUUUGAAAACUAAAUUUCAUAAUUUUUCGGUAUUAUUUACCUAUCAAACGAGUAGUCUAAAAAUGAACGGCUGAAAAUAAAAAUCUCAUAAAACAUGAUGAUAGAAGAUUUGAAUUUAAGAUCAGAGGUACUGAUCUUACUCUAAAUAGUAAAAAAAAAAAUUUAUAAAAAUUUCAUCUGAUUUGAAUUGUUUUACACCGUUAAAUUUACAAAUGCAUUACAUUUACCAUUAAAAUUGUCAAUUUUGAGAGCUUUUGAUCACUAGCCAAAUGAUGUCGAAAAACUAUGAAAUUUAGUUUCCAAAUAUUUUUAAUAGUGUAGAUCAAGUUUAACGGAGCCGAUCGUCGAUUUGGAAGCCGCAUCAUCGAAAACAACUUCGUAGCACGGAGGCCUCCGUGCUACCGAUAGUAUACCAGCCUAGCUAUAUAUAUAUAUAUAUAUAUAUAUAUAUAGAGAGAGAGAGAGAGAGAGAGAGAGAGAGAGAGAGAGAGAGAGAGAGAGAGAGAGCAGGAUUGCUGUGCUCUCAGGAGCACGGAGGCCACCGUGCUCCUAAGCCGUUUUCAAUGAUGGAAUUUUCGAAUCGACGAUCGGCUCCGUUAGACUUGAUCUAGCGCAUUUGAAGUUUCUAGAAAAUAAGUUUUGCUAUUUUUCGAUAUCAUUUACCUAGCAAUCGAAAAGAUUCAAAAUCAAUAAUUUUUAACGGCUGAAAAUAAAAAUCCUAUAAAAAGUGGUGAUAUAGCACUAAAAUUUUCGAUCAGAAAUAUUAAUCUUGUUGUAGAUAGUAUAAAGUAUUUUGUAUCAAAAUUUCAUCUGAUUUGAAUACUUCUACACCGUUAAACUUGAAAACGGCAGAUAUCAGCCAUUAAAAAUUAUUGAUUUUGAAUUCUUUCGAUCGCUAGGUAAAUAAUAUCAAAAAAUCUCAAAAAUUAUUUUCUAGAAAUUUCAAAUACCCUAGAUUAAGUCUAACGGAGCCGAUCGUCGAUUCAAAAAUUCCAUCAUUGAAAUGGCUCAGGAGCACGGAGGUCUCCGUGCUCCUAAGAGCACAACAACCCUACUAUAUAUAUAUAUAUAUAUAUAUAUAUAUAUAUAUAUAUAUAUAUAUAUAUAUAUAUAUNGGGAGGUUGAUGAAAGUUGGUUGAUUAUUACACCCGAUAUUUAUCAUUGAAACUUCGGACGUUAUCUCCAGAAAUGGGGACGCGUGUUUUCUGGUGGGAAUAAAGGAGAUGUAAAAUAGCGAAAAGAUCCUCAUCAGAUUUAGUGGUUGUAACCAUGAUCGUGGAAGUUAUACUAACUCCUCAUGGAAGUUACGCUAACUCCUCAUAGAAGUUACGCCCUAAUCUUCAACUGUUCCCGCCUUCUUGUCCUUCAGGUGCCUUAUUGCCGACUCCUGAUAUACCAUGUGUCAAUUUUCGCUCAUACGUGGGUUAGGUCGGCUCAAUUUUGGUAUCAACAGAGUAUAACAGAAAUUAUAUAUAACAAAUACCAAAAGUUAUAUAUAAUUUUAAUAUAUAGACUUUCUCUAAAAUAAGUCACAUUGUAAAGAAAAUUAUUAAGUAAAACUAUAUUUCAUUAUUUUCAUUAAAAAUAAAUAAAUAAAUAAUGUUGAGUGUUUGUCGAUGCCCCCACAAGGCCAAAGGACCUGCAUGCUUGCGGUGGGCCCCACAGGGGCUACGCUUGGCAGCCCACAACAUCAGCCUUUUUUUUUUUUGUGCUUUGACCGCCACCUAGGCAACCCCAUCACGGGCUGCCUAGUGCGGCCCUAAUGGGGCUGCACAAUGCAGCCCCUUCUCAGCUGCUGACGAUCGGUGCCGCGAUGCGCUUCCGCCGCCCGACCUACCGCCAAGUUUCUUUUUUUCUUUUUCUUUUUCUUUUUUUAUAUAUACCGCAAACCAGGGCAAGUCUUGAGGGGCCACCUCGUACGGCUCUCAUCCAUAGGGGCUGCAAGAACAUGCAACAUCUUAAUUAAUUAGCCUAUGCCUUAUGCUAAUUAAUUAAGAUUCUAUGUACACCUCUAAGGAGGUCGUAUUUUGCGGCCCCUAAUGGGCCAUGCUCAACACGGUGGGACCGGUGACGCCGUUUCUCCGAACGCCGAUCCGACGUUACCGUUAACACAAACCAUCGACGAAUUUAUUUAUUUAUUUUUCUUUAAUGAAAAGAAAACCAAACGGAAUCCGGAAAGAAACGAAAAUCCGGCAAAAGGUUUCGCUCUGAUACCACAUGUUAGAAACUUUAUAAGAAACUAGAUCGUACCUUCUGCUAUGAUUUCGAUUUCUAUACCCGAUUUGUAAGCGGCAAUCCUUACUCGUGGUUCGUCCUCGUUCGUGAUCUGCAAGAAGACGGGACGUUUCGAGUCUAAUUCCCUUAUCCCCAGAGAUGGAGCCGUCACAGACAAUUGGAUUAGGGUUAGACCGGGACUCCCGUAUGUUACAUAUUUAUAUAUAACUUAAUGUAAGGAUGUUAAAUCACGUCCAUCCAUCAAGGACGUGUCCAUAUACAUCCUAACCGUAAGAUCUAAAAUAUUUUUAUAGAUCGACUUAAAUAGAUUGACCGUAUCUUUAUGGAUCGCCUUGAAUAUAUCACGUGGGCCACAUCCAACACNCCUAACUCUAUAUAUAUAUAUAUAUAUAUAUAUAUAUAUAUAUAUAUAUAUAUAUAUAUAUAUAUAUAUAUAUAUAUAUAUAUAUAUAUAUAAAUAUAAUUGUGCUAGAAUACUAUCGAUAGCAAACGGACUCCGUUCCCACCCAUUUGUUUUCGAUGAUAGAGCUUCCAAAUCGACGAUCGGCAACGUUGAACAUGAUCUAUACCAUUUGAAGUGUUUAGAAAUCAAGUUUCAAAUCUUUUUGACAUCAUUUGCCUAAUGAUCAAAGGGUUUCAAAAUUUAUAAUUUUAAUGGUCGAUAUGAGGUGUUCUCUCGUUUAACGGCGUAAAGAUAUACAAAUCAAUUGAAUUUUUGUUAGAAAAUUUUUUAAACUAUUUAAAAUAAGAUCUAUACUCUUGAUCAUGAUUACAAAACUCCUAUCAUCAUUUUUUAAAAAAUAUUCAUUUUCAGCCGUUCAUUUUUGUGUCCACUCGAUGGAUAAGAGAACAAUAUCGAAAAUAUAUGAAAUUUGAUUUCUAAACACUUCAAGUGGCAUAGAUCAUGUUCAACGGUGCCGAUUGUUGAUUUGGAGGUUCCAUCAUCGAAAACAAAUGGGUGGCAACGGAGCCCGUUUGCUAUUGAUAGUAUUCUAGCUCAACUAUAUAUAUAUAUAUAUAUANAAUAUGCGAAAUGUUAAGUCUAGAACCCAAAAAAGAUUGUUGUGAUUACACAGCUCUCAUCCAAGAAAUCUCCUCUUCUGGUUUUUUUUUUUUUUUUUUAGUAAGAAAAUAACAAUUGACAAGAUUAACGAAGAAAAGUUGAUCCUUGAAUGAUGGGUUGUACGAUUGUAAUUCUAUUUGGAUUGUAGGGCUAGCAUUGCCCGUGGAACAUUGAAAUGAUUGAAGUGCCUCCAAAAAAUAUGGAAUCUGAUUAUGGAAGUUGACUUAUCUUGGUGGAAUCCAAUCUAUAAUAGUAUGACUCUGUUAUACUACAUAAGGUGCACUCCACUCCAGAUUUUCGCAGAGUAUGUUUUGAAUAAGAGAAAUGUUACUUGUACAUUUAAAAGUAGUGCAAAUCUUACAUUCGGCCAAUCUAAACUCACACAGAGUAAGAGAAAUGUAAUUUGUGAGCUCAAAAGUUGACCAUAGAUUUUAUAUUUUGCUCAUCUAAAUGUUUAGACAGUUUUUUUAGAUUUUAGGAUUAAAAAACUAAUAGUAUGGUAAGACUAGUGUUAAAAAAUAGGUCUUAUAUAGGGUGUAAGAUUUCUCCCACUUUUGUAUGCAGAGAUAGCAUUGCUCUUUGAGUAAUUAGGUUCCAUACACAGGAUUUUCUAUGGGUUAUUGAAAUUUUAGUAAGUCUGUAUGUUUGGACUUACCAGCAGAAACUAAUCAGAAUUCUCCACUUCAAUUAGGUCAACACAUCAGCAGUAGUCUAUAGAAUGCCAGCAUUUCGGGUGUUUGGUAAUUUGGUUGUUCACAGAUGUAGAAAGUAGUAGAGAGUUAGCUGGGGAGUCAUCUAUAGAGAACAAGGUAUGGUUAAGGAUAACUUCUGAAAUUGUGUUACGCAUACUUCUUGAAAUAGAUGAGAGUAGCAUUUGUGCUGAAAGUGAUUGGCCACCAUCCUAUGAUUUCUAUAAAUAUCUACAUGAUAGGAAUAAUGCUAUGCACACUACCAUUCCCGUGUAAGUUGUGGCGGAUUCCGAAAGUUAUCAAAAUAUCUUUUGUGGCUAUGCCUCUCUCCCCUCAUCCGUUUCAUGUGGGGCUGAACUUAACAUUAAGGACCAAAACCCUGCAUAAUUGAUGAAUUAAUUAAACAAUAUCUUUAGGUUUAAGAUUGAGAAGACUUAGGCUCUGUUUGGAUGUCGUAACAAGUUAUUUUCUAAAUAACUUAUUUAACAUGCAGUUUAUUUUUUUUCGUGUGGUUGGAGACGAAAAGUUUGAGUUUUUUCCUUGAAAGGUUUGUAGUCCUUAGUUUCAUAGGAUAGUAUACUUCACCUAUAAGAUAAUUUAUUUUAUUACGAAAAAUUCACUAGGAAGUGAAAUAUAUUAUUCCGUUCUAGGUGUUUAAUUAUAUUUCUCAUUAAUCAAAUACUAUAACUUCUUGAAUAAAUCAAAGAUAUAUUCGGAAUAAUAUAUUCAAGUAUCCAAAUAGGGCCGUAAGGAUUGAGAAUUAAGUAACUAAGCAAGAUGGCAAACAACCCUUUUCAUCACCGUCCCAAUUUGAUCCAGCUCAGGGGUCGGCAAAUGGGUCCAGAAGAGAGAGAGGCGCACGAAGCGCCUAAAUACAGGCCACUUCCCAUUUCUUUAACAUUUUUUAGGAGAGCAAUAAUCAGGUUCUCAUUUCAUAACUCCAACAGAAAUCACCAUAACCAUCCCCUGUUGGAAUAUCUUAUCACUAAAAAUGAUGGGCCCGGAGUAUCUUAUUCAACCGACCCACCCUCUUACACAGUUGUGGGAGAAAAAGCUCUUGCCUCAGGAAGAAGGAAGAAGUAAUACAAUAAUACACAUAUAUAGUAGUCAAAUUCAAUACAAUACUAGAAAAAAAAUAUGCAAGAGAGAGCAGAGCAGAACAGAACCUGAGACAAAAGGAUCAACUCAGAUCUCAUGAGUGCAAUGAUAUUAAUUAAUUAAUCCCUCACUAGUAACUAAUCAAAGCCAAUUUGGUUGGAAGGGCGGCGCGUUUACCCAUUACCGCAAUCCUGAGCAUUGUACCGAGGCGGAUUCACUGAUUCAACUACAGCUCAUCCUAUUCCUCCUCUAUUAGAAUAUAUAUUUCUAGAAUAUCCAAACAGAAUAUAUAUAUAUAUAUAUAUAUAUAUAUAUAUAUAUAUAUAUAUAUAGUGGAUAUCCGUAUCCGAUCUAGAUUCGAUUCGUAUCCGGUCUUGAAUGGCUAGUAUACUGAUAGUCACUACCUAAACCUACUCAAAUAGACCCGAUGAAUAUAUUUGUAACUUAAGUAUCCAAAUUCGGAUCAGACCCGAAGUUAAAUGGAUAGGGUAUAUUUUUUUUUUUCUAACCAUUUCUUUUUAGGAUACAUGUAUAGUAUAUUAAUUAUCUAGACGCAAUCCGAUCCACAGACACCUUUAGGUGGGACUAAAUUAUACUUAAUUAUGUUUUGGUUGUCACGCCAUAUAUUACUACGUUCCCCGAGCUCGCCAACAGAUCCGCCGUACACAUAGGAAUUUUCCGUGUAUACGAAGCGAUAGCCGUACCUGCAAAUAGACAGAAGCUACAACAAAAGACAGAGCUGCUAAACUUAACAUAUAUAAAUAUAUAAGUAAAACCCACUGUACAUACAAGUUCUAAAGCACCACCCUCUCAGAACGAAAACUAAAAUAAAAAUCACUGUAUGUACAUGGCACAACCAAAACUACCUCUGUUCGGAACUCCUCUAGUAUGGUAACUGGGUAAAUAGGGAUCUAGCUUGCGACUCCCUUAUCUCGAUCAGAAACGGCAACAGGAGCAGUCAAAGGCUCUGCAAAAAAAAAAGGCAACAACGAGUAUGAGAACUACUACAAAAACAGAGUAGUCCUCAGUGGGUACCGUUACCGACCCCAACGGUCCAACCACUAAGUCUACAAGAUGAGUAAUAAGCUGAUAGGUAAAUAAGUUGGAAGAAAUUCUGUAGCUAAAUGCCACUAUACUAUCGCUAUCCAAACCAUGCUCUCUGAAACAUAUGAAAUGUAUCACUAGCUACCAAUCAGUCACAACUAACCCAAUCUCAAGGGACCGCCAACCGGUCAGCUAAUCUGUACCCAAACUACACUGCACACUACCCGCGGGGGUGGCCGGUCCAAGAACACUGCCCAACAGGACUGCUAGGACAUCAACGCAAGAAAAGUCUCACUCCGAAGUGGCACUCGUGGGAGCGACCCAACCGAAUAUGCAAGCGUGUCUCUGUCGAGCUCAAUUAGGCUCACACAGGCUAUAGUCAUUUCAAAUGGGUCAAAUUGGUCUAACAACCAUGGCUCACGUGCCCUCGGUACAAUCUGAUAUAAGAUGUAAGAAUUUAGAUCCACCGUCAACCCCGACGGCACCCGACAAUACAAAAUAGCCUAACUCUGCUGUAAAACGAGUUCGGCCCCUCAACACGAGCGUAAUAUCAACCUACACUAAUUUAAAUAUCCACGACGCACUAAUAGCGGUGAUACAAAUAGAAAAUCAGCUCCUGAAGCUAAACCUGUUAACUUUUCUAAAAAUGUCUGGUGUAGGUUUAACAAGUUUUCUCCUAAGUCAAAUUCUAGUUCAGCAGAUAAUAAUCAUCAUGAUUUUGCUAAGCAUGCUCCAAACUUAGAUUUUAUCUAUAACAUGCAAAUCUACAGUUCAAGCUAUAAACGAGAUGGUUAUAUGUAAACUACACAUACUGUGAUAUCAUAUACUUAGGAGGUACUCCGAAGACUUCGGAUAACAUCAACUCACCUAGAAUGCUCGUUCAACACCGGCUAGAAGUCGAUAGACGAAAUCCCGCACCAGCUCAGCCUCAAACUGAAGCAAACCGUGGUGCAUGGACAAUCCUCCAAAGAGAAGAAGAAUAAAAAUAAGAUCGAUCCUCAAAUUCCCAUAGAACUGGGGAGAGAAAGCUAGAGAGAGAAAGAGGAGAAGCCUACCUGUUUCUCCAAGCUCCAAUAUGUAUAUCCUGCUGGGUCGGUUGGGAAUAAAUAGGAUAAAUAUGGCUACAAAAUUACCAAAAACUCUUUUACCAACUCAAACUGCCACAUUGAGUACCGGUACUCGGUUGAGGUACCGGUACCCGGCACUUAAACAGCUAAAACCCGAGCACUGGACAGCUGGGUUUUAAUACAGUGUACUGGUACUAGCUCGAUGCAGUACUGGUACCCAGUCCCAGUACCGGUACCGGUACUCCACAUAGGUACCGGUACUUAAUACUCAAAAUCUGCAAUUUGCAGAUUUCAGUGUCAGAAUUCUAAUCUCGCACUGCGUCGAGUCCGUUCUUGCGUCCAUUUCGCGCCAAACGACUCAAACUCGUUCCGACACUCUACAGAUGUGUCGACAAGCCACAAAUACUGCAGUCACUCCGACUGCUAAACACCAGGGAUACUACAUUGGUCCACAAAUUUUAAUUUAUUAUAAUUUCAUACUCAAAAUUUUUAAAUUAUUGUAAUCAAUAUCUAAUGUUCAAAUAAGAGAUUUUGGAUAUCAACCAUCAAAUUAUGCGCCAUUUGCACUAGAGACGAUUAAUAUCACAUAUUAAAUUUGUAUAAGUCAACUAAUAAAAGGACAGGAAAAUAUUUGGAAUGUCACCAUGUUUGAACUAUAGGCCAGUCAGAGAGAGUUUCUUCAACUUUUUUUUUUUUAUAUUUAUUUUGUACUGAGACCCCUUCAACUUCUUACUUGAGAUUCAUAGAUAGUUAAGCUAAAAAUUUUAUCAAAAUUACUUUCUUUAUUAGUUAUUACUUAUUGACCAUUAAUUGACAUAGUUUUCUUUUUGUUUUUGCUAAAUGAAAUUGAAGUCAUUCAUUUGGUGCGAUCACCAACAAACUUGGUAAACUUUCAAAAUCUUUUUACUAAAAUUAUUUAAUUCUAAAAAAAAAGAAAUUGAGGGGGCCGAGACAAAAAAUAAUAGUUGAGGGGAUAUAUAUUCAUUUUUCCCAAUAAAUUAUUAAAGUCUUUCUAAAUUUCAUAAUUUCUUAUUUCUUAAAACUAUAAUUUAGGAUAAAAUAUGGUGAUCUCGAAAAUUGAAUAGAUUAAGAUUAUUUUCUACAUUAUUAAAUUAUAAAUCACUUGUAUAAAAUGUUAAAGGUCUCGUUUAGUAGCGUUGCGUCUUUAUAGUUUUUUUAACAAUGAUUUGACAAAAUUAAAUGUGUUGGCAGAAAGAUUUUUUUUUCUUUGUCAUAAUAGGUUAGCUAACAAUGCAUCCGACUAAGUUAUAGAAAAUAAUUUAUUUUGAAAAUUUUGAAAGUAACAAAAAAUAAUUUUUAAUUGUUUUUUCUUUUUGUUGCCAAGUAAAGACUUUGAAUAACAAAAUUAUAUGCAAUCCACUAUCCACUUUUAUACUUUUAAUAUAAAAAAAUAUUUUAGAAAGUGAAAAAUAAGCAUUGUAAAAUUGUUUUGAGAAUUAAAGAACUUUGUUUUUCUAGAAUCCGAUUUUCACAAUUUUUCAAUAUCAUUUGUCAAAACCGCAGUGUCACAUUCGUCUUAUAUUAGCCGUUGUAAAACCACAAAAUUACUAGGCAAAUAAUUUUAGAAAACUAUGGAAUUUAAAAGUUAUAAGUUCAAAUAUCCUAAUCAUGUUUAACACGUUUGAUAGUUGAUUGGAAUAUCCCACAAGGGAUUGUGUGGUUUCUCGAAAAAGCAUAAAAAAUUAUUUUUCAGGAAAAAAAAUUAUAUGAAAAACACCAUUCUUCAUCACUUUUAUUUGGAUAAAUUGCACUAAUAUUGGUUCUCAAACUAUGAUGUAGACGAUAUUUUAGUUCUCGAACUUUGAUUUGUUAUAAUUUUUACUCGAAUUUUUAGAAUUAUUGAUGUAGACGAUAUUUUAGUUCUCGAACUUUGAUGUAGACGGUUCGUAUUCUUAUUUUUAUCAUUUUAUUUGAAAUUUUACGUAAGGAAGGAUAAAUCAAAUUUUUGCCAAAAAAUGAGUCUGUCAACAGACCAAUAUUUGAAAUACUUAUAUAUAUAUNAUAUAUAUAUAUAUAUAUAUAUAUAUAUAUAUAUAUAUAUAUAAGCUGGAAUACUAUCAAUAGCACCGAGUUAUUGGUGCUAUUAAUUUCUUAGUGAUAUUAAUUUUUUAGCUCUUGGAUGAGAAAUGUGCGGUUAGGAUGAUGUGGACCCCUAGGGUUGAGUGGAUGGUUGGUUGAAUAGUAUAAUCUAACGGAUAAAAAUAAUCAAAAGGAUUAAUCUAACAGCAAAAAAUUUGAUAGCACCAAUCACUUAGUGCUAUCGAUAGCAUAGUAGCUGGACUCAUAUAUAUAUAUAUAUAUAUAUAUAUUUGGACUGGACUACUAUUAGUAGCAAAAUUCUAUUGUUGCUACUAGUUUUUUAGUCUUCAGAUCAACUCUUUUCAUUAUUUCUAACCAUUAGAUUAAAUACUAUAACCUAGUUGGGACCACUCAACCUUAGGGGGACCACUCAACUCUAACCGACUAAUAUCAUCCUGACCCUACAAUUUUUCAUCAAAGGGUUAAAAACUUGAUAGCAAAAAGAGCGUUUUACAAUUAAUAGUAUUCCAGCUGGUAUACUAUCGGUAGCACGGAGGCCUCCGUGCUACCAAGUUGUUUUCAAUGAUGCGGCUUCUAAAUUGACGAUCGGCUCCGUUAGACUUGAUUUACACUAUUAAAAGUAUUUGGAAACUAAAUUUCAUAAUUUUUCGACAUCAUUUACCUAUCAAACGAGUAGUCUAAAAAUGAACGGCUGAAAAUGAAAAUCUCAUAAAAAAUAGUGAUAAAGAAUUCAAAAUUCAAAUCGGAAGUAGUGGUCUUGCUAUUGAUGUUAAGUAGAAUUUUCUAUUAAAUUUUCAUCUAAUUUGGAUACUUCUACACCGUUGAACUUAAAAAUGCCGUCUGUAAUCCGUAUUUAAAAAUAAAAAAUUACAGUAAAAAAUAUUAAUACAAUUUAACAUAGGGUAUCAGAACCAGAUCUUUUACCAUAUUUUUUUCGUUUCUUUUA